UCAAGUUCAUAUCAUCUCGAAAAGGAAACCACAAUAUUUAUUCGUUGCACUGCAUCAUAAAAUCUAAAGCCCCAUGUGAGUAGACUUAUGGUUUAAAACCCAUAGGUAUAUUGACUAUGGUGGCAUAAGAUAAAUAUGUUUUCAUCUUACAAUAAAAAUAUAAAAAUAAUAAGUGCAUGAUCUUGCUAUAUAAAUAUAAUUUAUUAGGAGGAAAUUCAAUAUGAUAAAGGCUAAGAGAUUUUAUGCUAACACUUAACCAGUUCCACAAAGCUUUGUUGUCUAUUUUAGUUCCACAGAAUUCAAGGAUCAAAGAAGACUAGCAGACGAAGGACAUCCUAAUCGCAGUAAGGGUGUUGCCGACAUUCAGAUACACCUCCGUCACCUGCUAGCUACAUCAGAAGAAAUUACGUCAAAAUCCAGCUUGGGGGAGAGCACCCCCAUUUAUCCAGCUAAGUGUUUCUACUUGCAUUUAUACUUUACUCAAAUAAUAAAAAUAUGCAUAAUCAUAAAAACCCAAAUAAAUAUUUUGUGUUGAUUGCUUAGUUUGUUAAAUAAAUAAAUAAAUAAAGUUUGCUAUGAACCCUCAUGAUAAGCUCUCACAUGGAAAUGAUGAAUAGUUGCUCUGCCAUGACUAGUUCUCAAAAUUGAAAUCUCUCUCAAGUUUAGGCAUAACUGUUAUAAUUUAAACCUGCUCUAAACCUGAACUUGUGGGAAGAGUACUUGAUCUAAAGUCUAAGUUGUUAACGGAUAUGAUAUGGGAAGGUUGAGCUGCUGUUUAUCUGUUCCUAGAGAUGCUAGAAUUCUGGAGUAUUUUAUCUUUGAAAAUCUUUACAAUGUUGCAUGAUGAGGUCUUGUAUGAUGCGAGUUUAAAUUCCUACCACAGCCAUAUAUACAUGCUUGCUAGACUUUGAGCCACACAUUUACGUUUUUACUGCUUAUGAGCAUUGAGUGUGGUCAAGUUGUGUAGACCCUUAGGAGCUUGUUAUGUGGUUAAAAUCAAGAUUCACUUGCACGUUCACUCAUACAUGCUACUUCUACUCCGGAAGUACGCAUCCACAUACAUCCACUCAAUUCCAUCUCCACAUUCACCUAAAAUUAUUCUACUCCUAAUCCGGGAGAGAAUAGCCAAAAACAUUCUCCUAUUUCUGUUUUUCCCUAUGAAAUAAAUGCUCUAGUUGUCUUGGUUAUUACCACUUGCUAUGUUAUUUCAGGAGAUGAGUGCUCUAAAAAAAUAAAAAAAGUGAAUACGAGGAAAUAAAAAGGGGCAAGUGCCCGAAACCUCGAAGAAAAUAAAAAGUGAGACGAGAGGUAAAAAUGGACAAGUGUCCGAUAGUAGAAUUAGGGGUACAAGAUACCCACCUGAGAGAAAAGAAAAAGAAAAUAUAGAGCAUCUCAUUCUCCUCAGAAAGCUUCAAAGUCCAAGAAAGGUAUGUAUCCCCUCAAAAGAGCAAAAGUAGGAUUAGACUUUCACCAUUGUUAUUACCAUCAUCACCAUACACCAUUCACUCGCCACACAUGCACAUCUUGAUUUGACUUAUUGACUUGUUUCUCUGGAUCCAUGGUUUGACUAUGCAAUAAAUGUCUUGUAAGUAUGUAUUAUCUGUCUCCCACCUAUGAGCUCCAGAUAUCAAAACCUUAUUAUAGUAGGGUGAGAGAGAAGGCAAUAUCACUAUGCCUCAUACCAAAAAUACCACAUACUUUGAGAGAAGGCAUAUACCAUUACUGCCUUGGAAAGGAUCUAGAAAUACCACAAAAGAGAGAUUUGAGAGAGUCAUACAAGGAAUCUCUGAGUUUUAUUUGAAAAUUUACAAAAAAACUCGAGAGCUAUAACUGAUCAAGAAUAAGAGACAUGGCGCAUGACUAGACUGUUCCAUCUUUUAACUGCUCAAGACAGAAGUGAUAUUUACAAGCCCCAUGGUGAAAGGUAAAAUGAGUAAGUUUUAAGUCUUAACAGUUUACUCUAACUCAGAGAUGAGAUCUUACUUUUAAGGCAUGAAACCACUGCAGAAACUUUUGAGUCCAUCCUUGCUGAGGAACGAGCAAGAGAUAAGCUUGGGGGAGUUGUUGACGAUCCUUAGGUACCAAAUAUAAUCAUCAAAUAUAUGGAAGAAAGGCCCACACGUCGGGUUUACAUAGAGAUAUUAACAUUUUGCGCAAUUUUCUAUCAUCUAGAAUACUCCAGAAGCCACGGGAACGAACGGGAAGGCGAUCACGCCCGGGGGCAGGGCGGCCGCCCUCCCCCCUUGGGCGCCCGCCCAGGUGUUGUGGCCAAUCAUGUUCAAUCUUGCGGAUUAUGCUCCACCAACCUAAAGCAUCAAGGAGAACCGUUCAAUCAAUGUCGGCUUGAUCCGACGGCCCACGUUCACCUGAGGGGACUAUAUAUGCAGACCCCCUGGCCCCUAGAGGAGAACAAGUUCAUCAUAGAGUUGAGAGGUGCCCUCGAAGGAUAACCUUUCCUCUAAAUAGACUUAGGGCUUAGCAUCCAAUGUGAGAGUAGACUAGUUCUACUAGAUUGAGAGAGAUAGAGUGGAGGUGUAGAUCGGAGGAAGAUUGGAGGAACAUCCUCUGUGGUGUCUAGAUUCCGUGAGCCUCCCCAAUAAAACAGUAGAUCAUCCAUACCAAGGUUAGAAUGAGAUUACGUUUGUAGUCUUCUCUAUACAUCAUUCACAUCGAGUCACAUUCUUUGUAGCCUAAAGGGUAGUAGCAAUAGAUUUGGUUAGUCAGAUGCACGCUUUCUCCCAAUGGUAAAAAUAUAAAUAUGAUACUCUGGAUAACCUCCCGGGUGAAGUGCUCACCGAUAUCUGUGCGCUUGCGGAUCAUUUCCUGAUGGCGUUACCAAAUAUCAACAGAGAUGAGCACUAGCAUCUUCGUGCGCCUUUCCACAGAACUGGUUGGCUUGCACCAUGUUGAUGAGUCCAGGCUUGAGCUCAAAGUUGUCGUCGAUCUCUGCAACAGGUCCAGUGCGGAUGUUGUCCGUAGUGGGAGCCGAGAACUCACGGAUCGAUUUGUUCGCCAUGACUUCGAACUCUGAAGACAAGUUCCAGGUGAAACUUCAGUGAUCUUCUUGAUUGGAUGAAGCUUCGUGCUAAAGUGUUGACAAUCUCUUCUUGAGCUUGGCUCUUGUUUUUCUAAAUAAUCCUUCGGGAUUGUCAACAAAAUUACCUAGAAGAUGUCUUCUAUUCAUACAUCAGCCUGCAUAAAAUAAUAAAAAAUAGUGAAAUACAGGGUUAAAGUUGUACGAGAGAAUUGAUGAUCUCAAUCAUAUUAGUGAUGCGCAUAAUGACUCAUUAUUCCUUAUUCAUUCCUUAUUAGUAAAUCAACCUUCCCCGGCAACGGCGCCAAAAAUGCUUGUUGGGCAUUCUUAACGUCAUUACCAAAAGUAGACUUAGUUUUCUAAUUCUGAUAACGGCGCCAAAAAUGCCGAACCUAUCCCUCAUGCCACUUAAGCCAAGUUGUCGUCCCCAGCAUGACAUGAGAGACGCGGUAUUGAAAUAUGCAAUUGCUCUUCUGAAUGAAUAAUAAAUGAGAUCUGCAAGCACACAGAUUAAUACUGAUGUAGCAUUUUAACCGGGAAGUAUUCCAGGUAUCGUUAUUUAUAUUUUUACCACUAGGAAGGGAUUGCUAAUCAUCAAUGUUGAUUAUGGAAUGAAAUAUGGAAAUGAGUAUCUAUCAUUGCAUGUGUAAUAGAGAGCAUUUAUCUAUCUCUUUCAUACAGGGAUAAAUGUCACAUAAAAUAUAGAUAAAGUAUGAAUGGUGACAAUUAAUCUGAUCAGCAUAACUAGCCACAUAUAAUAAUGAUAAGCACCUCAACAUAUAUUAUAGCAAGUCAUUAGCAUGGAAUUAGGAUGAACUACAAGAAUAUUUCCUAAGUUAUUCUUAACUAUAAAGUCUAGCAUAUCAUAGUUAGUGCAAUUAUACUUGGCAAUCAUUGCAAGACAGGACUACGCCCAUGCAUAGUGAUAUUAUCAAGGAAGAUGAGAAACAUAGCAAUCACUCCCCUGUAAUAAUGUUGCCCUGCCUGCCCUAUACACGAGAGGGGCACUAUAUAAGAAACAAUGGAGUUGUCACCACCACAAACUACCCCGCGAUCCGGCAUAUAGGGUACAAUCGUAGAUAAAUACGGUAUAGGCACCAUGCCUACAAAAUACUUAUCAUUUACCCACUGUACACAUGGAUAAACGCUAUGCGAUCCUAAACAUGUAUAUAAUUCCAAUCUAACUAAGCCAAGCAUAUAACUAUGAUAAACUAAGAACAAUAUAAUUGCAAAUAUAAACAAGUAGAGCAAAGUCAUAAUCAAUAUAUUGAAGUAGAACAAAGUCAUAUUCAUAAUAUUGAAGAACAAUGAUGAACAAAUGAAGAACAGUAGAGGAAUUACCAAGAAUCCUCUUGAUAGAUCCAGAAAAUAAAUCGAAGAUUGACUCCUUCUAGUUCUAAUCCUAUGUAGCUAUGCUAAACUAGAGAUCUAUUGAUGUGGUGGCUCUAGGGCUUGAUCAGGGACUUCUUCUCCUAAGAUGGAUGAAUGAAUUAGUUCUUCAGAGGUCUACUCCUCCAAGGGCUAGGGGGUCUGCUUAUAUAGUCCCUCCAAAUGAAUAUGGACCGUCGGAUCAAACUGACCUUAAUCGCACGGUUUUCCUUAAUCCUUUAGGUCGGUGGAGCAUGAUCCGCGAGGUGGAGUUUGAUUGGCUCUCAGGCCAGGGCGGGCGCCUAAGGGGGGAGGGCGGGCGCCCUGGCCCCGGGCCCGUUCGUUCCCGUGGCUUCUGGACUCUUCUAGAUGUUGGAUAAUUGUGGUGCACGUUAAUAUCUCUAUGUAAACCCGACAUGUGGGCCUUUCCUCCAUAUUUCCUGAUAACCCCCUGCAGAAAUAGACAAACACCAAAACUCGUGGAAUUCUGUCAGAUAAAACCCUAAGUCUGGGUGUUGGUUGCAUUUGGAUCCUUUUAUUUAUUUAUUUGUUGAUUAUAUUUGAUACUUAAGGACCGUCAACAGUAGGCACAUUGAUGUUGGUUCUAGGGUUGCAUGCUCGAGCAUCUAGGCACAUUGAUGCAUGUUCUAGGGUUCUAGCACUUGCUUCAAGAUCACAAAGUGCAUUGUUGAAGUAUUGGUUUCCGAUCGAGCAAUCAAUGGUGGGGCAUCCUGGAUCCUUCUUCUUCUUUGGUGGUUUGUUGAGGAUGGCCGCACUACAUUCUUCUGUCAGCUUGAUCACCUUAGUGGUGGGCAGUGGUCUCUUCUUGUUAAGAAUAUCGCUAAUGUACUUUGCAUAUGUGGGUACCUGUAUGGCAUCAAGUAGAGGUAUGUUGACAUAUAAUUUUUGAAUGACCUCUACAAACUUACCGAACUGCUCAUCCGACCAUAGUCCUCUCUUUCUUCUAGGAAAUGGCAAAUAGUUGGUGUCGUGAAAAUCUUUCCUCAUUUCUCCAGUACUAGGUGGUUGUAGCAACUCUUCUGCUUCAAGAGGGCUCUCUUAUUCUAUCACUGUUGGUUGCACUGGUGCUAGUGUUCUUUGCUUCUCUCUUGGAUGUGGGGGAUCCUUGGUAGCUUUCCCCUCUCUAGUAGUUAUGUUCUUUACCUACUCAAUGUUAGUGGCAGCAGGCAAUGCAGCAACUAGCUUUGCUAAUUUAAGCUCUACCCUUUUAUUAAGAGUGUAUUGCUCAUCAAGGGCAAUUAAUAGAAAGUCCAUUUUAUUGUGUAUAUCUUUUAAAGAUGAUUCAUUAUCUCCUUUAAUGAAAGUUGCUUAAAAGUAUUACCUGAAUUCAUACCUUUUCAAUUGGGUUGACUUGAAGUGGGUUCAUAUUUGUAUGCUGUCUCAAUGGCCCUCUGAUCUUCUUUGUACUUGGCCCUCUGGUCAAGCCAAUGGUGCAAAUUUUCCAUCUUGGUUGAUAGUGCAUUUACUUCUUUGGGUAUUUCUUCAGUUUGAUGACAAUGUUGAGCUUUAUCAUGGAACCAGCUUUGGUUUUCUGCUAUCUUAUCCAAAAGUAUCUAUGCUUUUCCAAUUGUAAGCUCCAAAAAUGAUCCCUUAGUAGAUGCAUCUAAGCACUCAUGAGACUUUUGGGUUAAUCGAUAGUAGAAGGUUUGCAUAAGUAACCAUCUGGCCAUUCAAUGGUGACGACAAUCUGAUAUGUAUCCUUGAAAACGCUCCCAUGCUUCUCGAAUGGUUUCUGUCUUAUGCUGUUGGAAACUGACAAUAUUUCCUCUUAAGGCAGUUGUUUUGCCUAUAGGGAAAAACUUUGCUAGAAAGGCAUCUGACAAGUUCGUCCAAGUGUUGAUGUUUUCUUGAUUGGUGUAGAACGACUUCCUUGCUCUUCCUUGCUCUUCCUUGCAUCUGACAAGCCCCCUCAAAUGAACGUUGGCCGUCGAAUCAAACCGACCUUACUCGCACGGUUUUCCUUGAAGAUUAGAGGCGGUGGAGCACGAUCCAGGAGACGGAGCUUGAUUGGCCCUUGUAGCUGGCGGGCGCCCAAGGGGGUUGGGCGGGCGCCCUGCCCCCGGGCCCGUCCGGCCUCCCGUUCACUCUCGUGGCUUUUGGACUCUUCUAGGUUGAGGAAAAUUGCCGCACACAUAAUUAUCUCGUUGUAAACCCGACGUGUGGGCCUUCCUUCCAUAUUUUCCAAUAACCCCUUGCAGAAAUAGACAAACACCAAAACUCGUGGAAUUCUGUCAGAUAAAACCCUAAUUCUAGGUGUUUGGUGCAUAUUGAUCCUUUUCCAUGUUUAGUUGACGGUUGAAUUUGGCACUUAAGGACCGUCAACAUGGUGUACGAGGCCCCAUGAGUCAAAUGAGUUUUCAGGCAAGCCGAGGAGCCACUAGUGACUACCUUGGUCGAGGACAACCGGGAAAUAUUUUAUCAUGACGUGCUUGUCCCCUGUUGCUGACCGGACCGCGAUCUCAUAAAGGGUGAUCCAGUUCUCAGGGUUUUCCUUGACGUCGUAUUUUUUGAGCUUCUCGAGCUUGAAAUUACGCAGCCAUAUGACUUGCCGGAGAUGCGAGGAGAACUGUUUUAAGCCUGGAGGGCCGUGAGCUGCAUCGUACUCGAAGUGGCACACGUUUUCGUGUGCCGCCCUAUCAUUGAUGCGUCUGUUGAUGCGCUCGCGGGCGUCCUUGUGAGAGAGGUUCUGCCGUAGAUCACGGGUUCUUCCCUGGUCUACCUCCUGGUCAUGCCCGCGUCGUUGCUCGUGGUUGCGACCGGCGUCCUGACCGCGGUCAUCGCGAUGAGCUUCCCUCCUACGGUCAUCAAUGGGCGAAUGGCUGCGGCGAUGACCGCUGGGUCGUGGUGAGGCCCGACUGUGAUGGGUCUGGUCAGAGGUGACCUACGUGUAGGAGAUGGCUUGAACCCUUUUGAGGAGAUCUGCAGUCUGUCCCAUGGUAGCAGUUAACUGUGCCCAGAUGUUAGUCCUAACAUCCCUAUAUUCUGGGGUGUCUGGGAGUCGGUCGAGGUUUUCCAUGGUGACAGCCACGUUAGCGCUUGGUGUCUUGAACACUUGCUGGUUCCCCACCAUGUCGAAGGCGUCGUCAAGGUUAUUCGGGACCACCUGCCACUGUUCUUCAUCUGCUCGUCGCUGAGCACGAUCGGUGUUGCGCUGCUCGCGCUGCUGCCUUUGCUCAUUGGUUUCUUCAUCGAUGACUGGUUCAUCGUUGCUAACAUUCAAAACCAAAUCUCCUCAUCAAGGUGGAAAAACCGGGAACCGGGGCAAACCCGGGGGGUAAGGCAGGAGAUCUAAGUCGUAAACUUCAUCCUCGGGGUGUACAACCUCGGUGGGGACAAAGCAUGUGCUGGAGUUUGUGCUGGCAGUUUUGUCCUCUGGCAAAGUACGGACAAAAACCAUAUUGAAAAAGUGGCGUGUCGGGCGCACUGUUGACGGUCCUUAAUGCUCACAUUUAACCGUCAACUAAUCAUAGAAAAGGAUCCAAAUGCAACCAACACCCAGACUUAGGGUUUUAUCUAACAGAAUUCCACGAGUUUUUGUGUUUGUCUAUUUCUGCAGGGGGUUACUAGGAAAUAUGGAGGAAAGGCCCACACGUCGAGUUUACAUAGAGAUAUUAACAUGUGCGGCAAUUUUCUAUCAUCUAGAAGACUCCAGAAGCCACGAGAACGAAGCGGAGGCAGAACAUGGCCUGGCCCAGGGCGCCUACCCUAGAGACCAGGGCGCCCGCCCACCUCUAGUGCCCAAUCAGGGUCAACUCCGCGGAUCAUGCUCCACUGACCUAAGGGAUCAAGGAAAACCGUGCGAUUAAUGUCGGUUUGAUCCGACGGCCCAGAUUUAUCUGAAAAGACUAUAUAAGCAAGGCCCCCUAGCCCCUAGAGAUCAUACCUCUUCUACAGAAUCAAAGUUAGGGUUUCAAUUCUUCAUCUAAGUAGAGAGGAUCCCUCUAGUUCAUCUAGUUCUAGCUCUAGUUCAUCUAGUUCUAGUUCAUCUGGUUCUAGUUCUAGUUCCUCUAGUUCUAGUUCUAGUUAGUUCUAGUUGUAAUAUAGAAAAUAAGGAGAGAGAAGAGGAGAGCGGAGGAGGAGCCGGAUCUGUCGGAUCUUCCUCAACAUUGUACUUUUGCAGCAACUGGUUCGUUCUUCAUCGUUCUCCAGGUUCUUCAAUUCAUAACUCCUGAGUUCUUUAAUUACUUUUAUUUACAUUCAAGUUAUUUAUUGGGUUCCCGCUUGCAUCAAGUGCUCUAGUCUUUGCAACGCUAGAGUAGUAAUAAUAGAUUAGACAUGGUGUUUAGUCUUGCAAUUACCUGGAAUUGCACCCAAUCCCGCGGAUUGUUGUGGUAGCCCUAGGGUAGUGACAGCCCUAACGGUCGAUGUAUUCCACCUCGUUUAGAUCGGUGUUUGUAGGACCGUAGUCAGAGCUUCCUAGCCCCCUUCUCAUUUCUUUAUGUGGUUAGUGUUCUGAUGUCCCGAAAUAAAUAAUCUUUGAAGUAAUUCUUGAUUCUUAGAUCAACUAGAGAACUCUCAGGAAACUUCCUCUCUUCCCACCAAAAAAUAAUUAUAUAGUUAUCCUUGGGCGAUCUUGAAUCUUAAUUUGUACACUCACGUUCCCUGUGGAAAAUCGAUACUCUGGAAUACUCCCGGGUGAAAGCUACAUCGGUAUCUGUGCGCUUGCGGAUUUUUCUGUUUGCGUUUAAAAUACCCAACAAGCUUUCUAGCGCUGUUGCCGGGCAACGGUAGUUGUGCUAGUUUCGAACCAAGUCGUCCGUGUAUCCUUUUUCUUUUCCUUUUUUACCACACUCACCUUACCAUUUUCACCAUACCACAUGGAUUUCACUCCUAUCUAUAAAUUCUUUGCUCCAAAGGGCGAGUUAUUAGAGCCACCACCAUCAUCGCAUCCUAUUCUUACAGAUGGCUAUGACCUCGGCCCUGAUCUAAUAGCCAUGAUUCAGGAGCAACCCUUCUCUGGGCAAGUAGAUGAAGAUCCAUACAUCCACCUUAGAGAAUUCGAGCAGUUGUGCUCUUGCCGAUCUAUUUCCGGCAUGACACAAGAAACCCUUAAAUGGAAAUUAUUUCCGUUCUCCCUUUUGGGAAGAGCAAAAAAGUGGUAUGCUCAUUCUGUAGGAGGCGUUAAUGGAAAUUGGGAUGAACUUCGGGACAAUUUUUGUCUCGCUUUCUUCCCACUUUUUCGAAUCGCUGACCUUAGAAUCGAAAUUCUUACAUUCAAAUAAAGAGAGAAGGAAACUUUAGGAGCAGCUUGGGCUAGGUUCACAAGCCUUAGUAAUUCCGGUCCAAACCAUUCCCAGCCUGACCAUGUAUUGUACUACCACUUUUAUCGUGGUCCAAACAAGGAAGCUGCUCUUCACCUCGAUGUUGCUUCAGGAGGCUCAUUCACACACAAACUCACAGAUGAGGGGAAAGCUAUCCUAGAGAGAAUCCUUGAAAAUACCCCUUACACAGACAUUUAUGAUGAGUUUCCUGAAGAAGAAAAAAAAGUCGAGCCUAAUCCUAAACCAAAAGAUGAGGAACUUGCAACCGAGUUAGAAAUUCCACCUGACCCAUCUCUUAAUUUGGUUGUAGAGAAACCUCCUGAUAAGGGAAUGCAAAACCAACUAAGGGAUGAUGAACCACCACGUUUAGAGCAUCCCUUUGAAUUCGAGGAAGAUCUUUUUGAAGAUUAUGGAAACACCUCGAAUUUUCGUAUCCAAACACGACCUCUAGCAGGGACCACUCAAUCCGUUCUAAGAGUAGAAUCUGUUGACAUAGAACACAUCAAAAGCCUUUCGGCUAUUCUGAGUUAUGAAUGGCUAAGAGAAGCAGAGCUGUCUCCUGAGGUAGCUCGGAUCAUCACUCCUUCAACCAUUCUUCCGUGCCAAAUUAGAGGGUCCGUUAGAAGGUCCACUACAAUCCAUAUGUUGGGAUAAAUUUUAUUUCCAAAGAGUUAGCUGACACUCUUUAUCCCAACGAGUCCAUAACGCCAUCUCAAAAACUUUUACAAAGUCCAUCUAGAUUAAUUCUAGAAAGCCAUGGGGUAUUAAGGGCAGUUCCUGUUAGAAUCAAGGACUCUGGAAUAUGUCUAGAUUUUCACAUUUUUGACAUACCGGAGCUUCCUCUCUUGAUUGGCAGACCAAUCAUGAAACUUCUACAAGAACACCCACAACGAGGUCAUUUAGACUUCAAGGUUGGGAAUUCCACUAUUGUUGUUCCUCUUGCUAGAUCAAUUAACACGAUAGUGGAACCCAAACUUGAACCAGAUCCUAUUGAGGAGAUCUUAAUGCUGACUCAAGAGGAGAUGGGCCAACCAUUCUUUAAUCAUGAACACUUUGUUCAAGAAGAAGAAGAGUUGUUAGAACCCGUUGAGCUAGACAAAAAUGAACAACCUUCACCUCCUUCGAUAGAGUUAAAACCUCUUCCUUCUGGCCUUAGAUAUGUCUUUUUGCACAACAACCCAAAAACUCUAGUAAUUAUCAGUGACAAGCUUUCCGAUUAUGAAACACAACAACUUGUCACUGUUCUUGAAAGGCAUAGAUCAGCAUUUGGCUACUCUCUCGAAGAUCUCACGGGCAUUAGUCCCAUUCUCUGCACUCAUCGUAUCCCUAUUGAUCCCAAUUUUACACCUUCAAGGGAACCGCAACGGAGACUUAACAAUGCUAUGCGAGAGGUUGUUAAGAAAGAGGUCCUCAAACUUUAUCAUGUUGGGAUUAUUUAUCUUGUGCCACAUAGUGAGUGGGUUAGCCCUGUUCAAGUAGUGCCAAAGAAAGGAGGAAUGACGGUCAUUAGGAAUGAGAAGAAUGAACUCAUCCCUCAACGAAUUGUCACUAGGUGGCGUAUGUUUAUUGACUAUCGAAAACUCAACAAGGCUACAAAGAAAGAUCACUUUCCGUUACCCUUCAUUGAUGAAAUGUUGGAACGGCUUGCAAACCACUCUUUCUUUUGUUUCCUUGAUGGUUAUUCUGGAUAUCACCAAAUCCAAAUCCACCCAGAUCACCAAGAAAAGACUACCUUUACAUGCCCGUAUGGAACUUAUGCAUACCGACGAAUGUCGUUCGGAUUGUGCAAUGCUCCAGCUUCUUUCCAACGGUGCAUGAUGUCUAUUUUCUCGGACAUGAUUGAGAAGAUCAUGGAGGUUUUCAUGGAUGAUUUUACCGUCUAUGGCAAAACCUUCGAUCAUUGUUUGGAGAAUUUAGAUAGAGUCUUGCAGCGAUGUGAAGAAAAGCACUUAAUCCUGAACUGGGAGAAAUGCCAUUUUAUGGUUCAGGAAGGAAUAGUGCUAGGACAUAAAGUGUUCGAACGUGGUAUAGAAGUGGAUAAAGCAAAGAUUGAAGUUAUUGAAAAACUUCCACCUCCCACGAAUGUGAAAGGAAUCCGUAGCUUUUUGGGACAUGCAGGGUUCUAUAGACGCUUUAUCAAGAACUUCUCUCAAAUUGCUAGACCCCUAACUAGUCUCCUAGCUAAGGAUGCACCUUUCAUCUUUAGUGAUGAGUGUCAUGAAUCUUUUCAAACUCUUAAGAAAGCACUCAUCUCAGCCCCGAUUAUCCAACCACCUGAUUGGAAUCUUCCUUUUGAGAUAAUGUGUGAUUCUAGCGAUUUUGCUGUUUGUGCCGUUUUAGGACAAACCAAGGAUAAAAAGCAUUAUGCCAUAUCCUACGUUAGCAAAACCUUGUCUGGACCAUAGCUCAAUUACACUACAACUGAAAAAGAGCUUUUGGCUGUUUUCUUUGCUAUAGACAAGUUUAGAUCUUCCUUAGUGGGGGAAAGAUAAUCAUCUAUUCAGACCAUGCUGCUCUCAAGUACCUCCUCACUAAGAAAGAUGCUAAGCCUCGUCUAAUUCGAUGGAUUCUUCUACUCCAAGACUUUGACAUAGAAAUGCGAGAUAGGAAGGGAGUUGAGAAUUCCGUAGCCGACCACUUGUCUAGACUUCAAUAUAAGGAAACACAUGAUGAGCUUCCCAUAAAUGACUACCUAAGGGAUGACACCCUGCUUAAGAUAACACAUGCAGAUCCAUGGUACGCAGACAUCGUCAACUUUAUAGUAAAAGGCUAUGUCCCACCCUGUACAAACAAAAGGAAGUUGCUUCACGAUAGUCGUUUCCACCUUUGGGAUGAGCCAUAUCUUUUCCGAGUCUGCGCUGAUGGAAUCUUGAGAAGGUGUGUUCCUAUGGCUGAGGCUACUCAAAUUAUGGAAAGAUGCCAUGCCUCGCCAUAUGGGGGACACUAUGGAGCAUUCCGGACACAUGCUAAAAUUUGGCAAAGUGGUUUUUUCUAGCCAACGAUGUAUGAAGAUACAAAGGACUUUGUCAGGAGAUGCCACCGAUGUCAAAAACAUGGGAAUAUCAACUCACGAAAUGAAAUGCCUCUCAUAAAUAAUCUUCAAGUAGAACUUUUUGAUGUAUGGGGCAUUGAUUUCAUGGGGCCAUUCCCUAUGUCCGGGAAUUGUGAGUAUAUCUUAGUAGCUGUGGACUACGUGUCCAAAUGGGUAGAAGCCCUACCUUGUAGAUCAGCUGAUUCAAAACAUGCCAACAGAAUGUUCCAUGAAGUAAUCUUUCCUUGCUUUGGUAUACCCCUGAUAGUUAUAAGCGAUGGAGGUUCCCACUUCAUUGACAAAAUCUUCCGGAAGUACCUAGCCGAUCAUGGAGUUCGACACAACGUCGCAACACCAUACCAUCCUUAGACUAGCGGUCAAGCCGAAACAUCUAACAAACAAAUCAAAAAUAUUUUACAAAAGACUGUAGAUGAGAUGGGUAAGGGGUGGAAGGACAAACUUCCUGACGCACUUUGGGCAUAUAGAAAUGCAUUCAAAACACCCAUAGACAUGUCACCUUAUCAACUUGUAUAUGGAAAAACUUGUCAUUUGCUUGUGGAUGUAGAGUUUAAGGCUCAUUGGGCACUCAAGAAACGGAACAUGGAUCUCCACCUCGCUAGCGAGAAUCGUCUGAUGCAACUAUCUGAGCUAGAAGAAUGGAGAGAGAAAGCCUACCACAAUUCAAGGAUCUAUAAAGAGAGAACAAAACGAUGGCAUGAUAAGAGAAUCAAGCACAAGGAGUUUAAGCCUAGAGAUAAGGUUCUACUAUUUAAUUCAAGAGUUAAGCUCUUUGGGCAUGGUAAGCUACGAAGGUCUGAGCUACUAUUCAACUUGUUCCAAGUUUCGCUAGAGUUCUGGAGAUUUUAUCUUUUGAAAAUCUAAAAAUGAUGAGAUCCUAUUUGACAUAAUACCUAGAGUCUUAUGAGAUAUAAAUAUUAAAACUGUGGGCACUUGCUUUGUUCAAGCCAUUGUUAAUUCUUGUAGUUUUGGUUGAGAGAAUUAUCAUGCUCCAAGGAUUAAGGUCUUUUUGUUUUAAACAUAUAAAAGAUUCACUCUUCCGAAGUAUUAUUGCGUUAGAGGCAUGGGACUAUGCAAAAAUUUGAUUCGAGAAAAAAGGAGAGUGAGACGAGAGGUAAAAAUGGACAAGUGUCCGAAGUAGAAUUAGGGGUACAAAGAUACCCACCUGAGUGGAAAAAAUGGACACGUGUCCGAUAGUAGAAUUAGGGGUACUGGGUGCCCACUUAAAAAAAGAGAGAAAGAAAAAAAAAUGAUAGCCCAUGGUCCCACUAAUAAGCAAUAUGCCUGUAAGAGAUGACAAACUUUUCAAAAAGGUCAAAGGUCUUGAUCUAGGAGUAUGACAUUCCUCUCCCCUGACUCCGAGCAUUGACAUAGCAAAAUGCAAAGUAAGUAUGCUAAAACUUUUUAAAGCUCUACUUAUAUAUCUUUCGAGAAGGCAAAUUCCUCAGUUUUAUUUUGGAAACUUACAAAAAAACUCCAGAACAAAGGUAAAACAGAAGAACUUGAGACAUAGUGCUUGACUUGAUCGUUCUGUUUUUCAAUCACUUAAGACCUUAGUGAUAACUUAAACCCUACAAUAAGAGGCAUAAAAGUAACCCCUGUUUUCUUGCUGAUUUUAGCUUUGCUCAGGGACGAGCAAAGGUUAAGCUUGGGGGAGCUUGUUGACGGUCCUUAAUGCUCACAUUUAAUCGUCAAAUAAUCAUAGAAAAGGAUCCAAAUGCAAUCAACACCCAGACUUAGGGUUUUAUCUGACAGAAUUCCACGAGUUUUGGUGUUUGUCUAUUUCUGCAGGGGGUUAUCAGGAAAUAUGGAGGAAAGCCCCACAUGUCGGGUUUACAUAGAGAUAUUAACAUGUGCGGCAAUUUUUUAACAUCUAGAAGACUCCAGAAGCCAUGGGAACGAAGCGGAGGCAGAAUGGGCCCUGGCCCAGGGCGCCUGCCCUAGAGACCACGGCGCCUGCCCACCUCUAGUGCCCAAUCAGGGUCAAGUUCGCGGAUCAUGCUCCACCGACCUAAGGGAUCAAGGAAAACCGUGCGAUUAAUGUCGGUUUGAUCCGACGGCCCAGAUUCAUCUGAAAAGACUAUAUAAGCAAGGCCCCUUGGCCCCUGGAGAUCAUACCUCUUCUAUAGAAUCAAAGUUAGGGUUUCAAUUCUUCGUCCAAGUAGAGAGGAUCCCUCUAGUUCAUCUUGUUCUAGCUCUAGUUCAUCUAGUUCUAGUUCUAGUUCAUCUAGUUCUAGUUCUAGUUCCUCUAGUUCUAGUUCUAGUUAGUUCUAGUUGUAAUCUAGAAAAUAGGGAGAGAGAAGAGGAGAGAGAAGGAGGAGCCGGAUCUGUCGGAUCUUCCUCAACAUUGUACUUUUGCAGCAACUGGUUCGUUCUUCAUCGUUCUCCAGGUUCUUCAAUUCAUAACUCCUGAGUUCAUUAAUUACUUUUAUUUACAUUCAAGUUAUUUAUUGGAUUCCCGCUUGCAUCAAGUGCUCUAGUCUUUGCAACGGUAGAGUAGUAAUUAAUAGAUUAGACGUGGUGUUUAGUCUUGCAAUUACCUGGAAUUGCACCCAAUCCUGCGGAUUGUUGUGGUAGCCCUAGGGUAGUGACAGCCCUAACGGUCGACGUAUUCCACCUCGUUCGGAUCGGUGUUUGUAGGACCGUAGUCAGAGCUUCCUAGCCCCCUUCUCAUCUCUUUCUGUGGUUAGUGUUCUGAUGUCCUGAAAUAAAUAAUCUUUGAAGUAAUUCUUGAUUGUUAGAUCAACUAGAGAACUCUCAGGAAACUUUCUCUCUUCUCACCAAAAAUAAUUAUAUAGUUAUCCUUGGGCGAUCUUGAAUCUUAAUUAGUACUCUCGUUCCCUGUGGAAAAUUGAUACUCUGGAACACUCCCGGGUGAAAGCUACAUCGGUAUCCGUGCGCUUGCGGAUUGUUCUGUUUGUGUUUAAAAUACCCAACACGCACAGGUUGUCGUGAUGAUAGGUCCAUCUCCCUGAAUAGAUGCUGAGUAUGACGUGACACCUAGUCGGCCGCGUUACUCAGACCAUGGGGAAGACUCCCAUCUGGGGAGUCGUUUUGAACUGAACAGUUCGUCCUUCGGGAGUGGUUGUUAUUGUCAAGGACAUCCCCAGCCGUUCGUGCAUGGUGGCACGAGUUGGUCAUCGGGAGUCGAAAAAGUUCGGUGCCGAUGCUCGAGCGGUCUGGUCUGAGAUUGAAUCCACCAGAUCGGAGACUACAAGAAGCCUAUGAUUGUCACGAUCGAUGGCUUCAAGUAGGUCAGAAUUGUCGACUCGUUUCCCUUUGUAGCGAGGAAGCAGAGGUCGAGUUGUCAGGGUCGUAGUGGUCGUGGUCGGUGUGAUCGGGACCACUACUUCCGCCAUUUCAGAUCGGAUCUGAUCCUCUUCCAAGGUGGUCGUGAGGCCGCCAGCGUGAGUCAUCCAGGUGAUCUAGCCGACGGUGAACGUGAGGCCUUCAGCCACGGCAGCAAAAGCAGGCAUGAUGACCAUCUUGUUCGUCUUGAGAACUAUACGCACACCCCCUUUCUGGCGUGCCACUGUCGAUUAAAGCGGGUCGGCAGUCUACCUUGGGGUAUACCCACGGUAGUAGUUUAUCGGUAGAUAGGUGUGCAAGCUACGAACUUGAUGGUGACGCAAGACACAGACAAGGAUUUUAUCCAGGUUCGGCUGCCGUGUGGGCAUAAUACCUACGUCCUACGUCUGAUUGUAUUACUAUAUGUUGAAUUGAAUUGUCUAAGGGGGGGUCCCUUGCCUCUCUUUAUAUAGUCUAGAGGGCAUGGUUACAGAUCUGGAAACUAAUCCUAGUCGGUUACAAUUGCUAUAGAUAAUGCGAUAUCAAUUCCUAUUCUAACCGACUAGAAUCUUGCUUGGUCUCCACGUCUUGUUUCCUUGCGCGAAACUCCGAGUAGUUGGAUCAAGCCUCAAACUGUCUUGUGAUGGGCCAAUUCUCCCAGCCCAAGUCUAGCCGUAAGGGUAUAGGGGUUUAUACCGCCACAACAUGUAUAUUUGGCUGUUGGAGGAAUUUUGAACUCUCAUCAUACAGAAACUCAUCAUGUAACAAUUUAAAACUUUUAAAUUAAAUUCUCCAUAACUCUAGUAUCUCUAGGAUUAAGAUUGAUAGCAGCUCAAAACCUUCCCAUACUAGACUUAGAUCAAGCAUUCACUACCCACAAGUUUUAGGCUCAGAGUAAAGUCUUAAGUCUAAACAAUUGUGUCCAAAACUCAGAAGAGUACAAGGUUGAAAACUAGAUACUUGCAAGGAAUUAUAGCAGAGCAACUAUUCAUCAUCUCCAUAUAAGAGUUUAUUCUAGAGGUUCAUUAUAAUAGAUUCAUUAAGAGCUCUCCUUACCUUGCUAGAUUUAUUAUGAAAGAUAAAAUAUUUAUUAAGUUUCUAAAGUCAUUCAUCUUUAUAUCUUAUCAUAACACACAAAGAAUAAAUUAAUAAGUGAGUAAGGGAUACUUAGCUCGAUGUACGGGGGUUGCUCUCCCCCAAGCUGGAUGUUGACAUAGUCCGUUUGUGUUGCUGAGUGGCAAUGAAGGUGUACUAGUCCUCCUAGAGUGUUAGGGAUGAUGGCUAUCGAGACAACACUAUGACUGUUGAAGACAACACUCCAACAAGGGAUAGGAUGUCCUUCUGCCUGUUAGCUCUUCUUGAUCCUUUAAAUUCCGUGAAGCUCAAAUAGACAACAAAGCUUGUUGAACUGAUUAUGUGUUAGUGGUAAAACCCCUAAGCCUUGGUUAUCUAUAACCUUCUUAAUAUAUUUAUCUUUUAGCCGGAUCAUAUAUUUCUAUACUUUUUAUAUUUAUGAUAUGCAGAUAGGAAAAUAAAUAUGCUGAAAUUUAUUUUUAUGCCACUAUAGUAGAUAAGUGUGUGGGCUGUUGCAUCACACAUCAAAUACAUGGGGCUUAGAAUUUUCUAGAUGUAAUGCAUGACAUAUUUAUUUUCUUUCUCUAUUGCAGAAAUAGUAAAGUUGGUGUGCAACUAAUUAUACAUUUAAGGAAAAUUAAAUAUGCUGAAAAAAAUUAUGCAGUGCUCAAAAGGAAAAUGUUGAUAACUACCAAGCUACCUCUUGGCACUGUGUUUAGUGUUUUAGGUCCUUCGAAUAGGAUCUCUUACCAUGCUCAUUCCUUAGGUGCUUUAUCUGGUCCCAUAGAUGGAGACCAUGAUUGUUGCACCCCCUGUGAUGGUGUCACCUAUGUUUAUUGCUCUUCCAACGAGUUGGAGUUAAGUACCUUUUCUGGAGCUAGCAACAUCUUCACUCAUUGUACAUGUUCAUAGGUCUAGGAUCUUCACUUGUAAGAUUCUUGGGGAGUUGAUUAAAGUGUACCCUGCUCAUAGAGAUAAGGCAGAGAUCAAGUACAUGGGCUCUGUUGUUGGGAAAACACCAACAUAUCCAAAAGGUCUGUUUAUUAUACUCUAGCCUUUGGCACAUUGAACAAGAUAAAGUUGAUAUAUGUGUUUUGCUCUAUCUGAACAUGGGUGAUAGGAACAAAUGAUUAGCAAGCUUGUAGCAUUAAAACCCUUGGCAUAUCAGAUUAACAUUAUGGAAUGAUAGUUUAUUUAUGCAUAUAACUACAUGAUUAUGACUAUCGUCUUCCAAAGAUAGGAUGUGCAAUAUUUCAGAUCAUUGAAUUAAAAGCUACAAGAUCAAGAAAGUGGUUCUAGGAACAAGCAUAAAGAACUGAACAUAUUGAGCUAAUUAGAUUGGAUCAAAUGAGGUUGUAACUCAAAGCAUGUUUGGCUCUCUACUUAUGUGCAUGCCAGAAUCAAGGAAGAUAAUUUGGAUGUAAUAAUCACUAACCAAGAGAUGUUACCUUUAGUAUUGACGUAUGUUGAAGCUAAAACAUCUUGUGGAAGCUUUCCUUGUUUGGCUAGUUAUGUGUCUUGUUCAUAGAUAGCCUAUCUUCUUUGUUGUACUCCUUUCUUAUGCCAUUAUUUGUUCUCUGUCUAAUUUGUGCUUGGACCUUUAGCUCUUCUUAUUAUUUUAUCUCUACAAAUCAUUAGUGGACAACACAUACCUGAAGGAGUAUACAAGUAAUGACAAGGGCAUUGUUGUAACAUAGAGCUAAGGGUCACUUUCUAUGCUACAAAUUUUUUUAACAUACUUAGCAUAACACAUUUCUUAUUCACAGUUACUUAUUUCUAAAGGAUUGAUUUUAUUUUCCCAUCUUAUGUUUAAAUAUAGGCAUUAUGAAUCAACUCAAACUCAUAGAAAUAAAAGCAUUAGUGAAAUUAGAGAUUGCAAACCAGCAUGUGGAGGGAUGAGGAAGAACUUGGUUGGAUCAUCUAGAGGAGUUGACCUUUCUUCCUUAUGUCUUAGCUUCUCGACCUCAGAGGUGAGAGUAUAGAACGUUACAUGCUCUUCUCGACCUCAGAGGUGAGAGUAUAGAACGUUACAGCAUUGUGUUUAGUCUUUUCUUGAUUCCUGAUAAUUAGUGGUUGAUAAGAGAAUGCAACUCCAUGGAAUGACUUGUGUUUCCCUUGUGCAAAAUUCUUCAUCUCUGAUAUGAGUUCAUCUCAUGACUUUCCCAUUUUGGAUUUGAUAGUUUUUCCUACAUGGUUAGUCGAACAAAAUAUUCCAAUAUUUACUAAUGCAUACUAUCAGCUCAAAAAUCAACCUAGACACCAUGUCUAGUUUGAUUUAAGAAGGCAUUUUAACCACGCGUAAUUAAAAGCCUUUGAGAGUAAGAUCACCACUCCUAAACUAGGCACCAUGCUUUGUUUAAGAGAUGUAUGAAACUACUCCAAACCUAAACAUAUACUAUAGCAAACAAAGGUAACUUGAGAGCAUUAUAGAGAUUUACUCAACAGUGAUGAUAGAGUAUGAUCGCAGUGAGAAAUAUUUUUUUUAUAUAUUUUUUACGCAGAUGAUUUGUAUGCAUGCAAGGAACUAAACAUGAUGCGAAUUUGAUAUGAGAAAACUAAAUGAAGUGGAUGCAUGGAUGAUUCAAAGUAAACAUGCAGUGGUAUGCAAGGAAAUAAAAAUAUAACUACUCAUAAGGUUUAAAGCCCAACUUGAUCAUACUUACCAUGAUGCACAGCUGGGAUGAGUGGUGUAGCGUAAAUAUCCGUCACAUGGGAUGGGAGUUGUAUUCUUGUGAUGACGAUCUUUUCUCCAAUCUACACAUGGUUAGAAUAAAUAAUAUAGUGUAUACACAAACCUAUGAGAUGGCAGGGUUCUAGAAUUAAUGAUGGAUCUUGAAUAUUGAGGCACCCAGGGUUCUUCAAUCUUGUGGAAACUUGUCACAAGGUCAAAACGACAUCUGACGUCUUGUCUAUUCCACACUCAAUAGAACAAAGGGGUAAUCCUACUAAAGCUAGUGGUAUACUAAAUUAGCAGACAUCAAGAUCAUUAUCAAAAUCUUUAUGCCAAUUGCUUUUUUGGCAAGGAUGACAAAAAUGCUUGUUGGCAUUUCUUAGCGCAAUCACCAAAGAUAGACAAAAAGCCUACUCCCCGGCAACCGCCAAAAAUAAUUGUUGACAUUUGUUGGUGCAAAAAGAAAUAUGAAAGAUUCCGCAAGCGCACAGAACAUCAUCGUCACAUUUUACCGGGAGUAUUCCAGGUAUCGUUAUUUAUAUUUUACCACAGGGAAGCUAGGGCUAAGAAUAUGAUAAUUCACUAUCCUACAUCUACUAACUUAGAGUAUCAACUAAACUAAAGCAGGGGUAAAUGAUAUACUAUAAGAAUAAACAAUUAAGCACAUAUAAGAGAAUUCAAUGAUAAAUGUAUAGAUAGUCGUAGCAAGAGGACAACGGGAAAGAUCAAGGUUCCUUUGUACUUCUCUAUUACUUCGGUUCUAAGGCAAUAGAAUAUGAAAAGAUACAACAGUCAUACAAUGGCACUUUGGAGCAACAGUACCUUUCCAUCUCUUUAAGAAGACUGGGAAGAAAGUAGUUAGGGGAAGGCUGCCAAAAGCUCUACGAAACAUCAAUCCGAACAUGGUUGAAUACAAAGGCCUCAUAGGACUAUCACCCCUAGGGCUACCACAACUAUCCGUGGGAUUGAGCGCAACCUCAAGGUAAACUACAACCUAGUCACCACAUCUACACUAGCGUUUACUACUCUAAUUACCAUGAAUAACUAGAGCACUCAAUAUGAGCAGAGAUCCCAUGCCAAGAUAUAACAACUUGUGGCAGAACCACCUGAAUUAUAUGGCCCACAUGCACCUAUCAUUGUCCUUAAGACCUCUGAUUACUGCACAUGAGAGUCAUAUAACUCAGAUAGUCUGUCGAGUGCCCUCAGAGGACCCCGAAUCAUCCACAUUUUAUAACUCAUACAGGAUCAACAUGGAGUUACCACAACAUUACUGUUGACACUAGCUAACACCACUUAGAUACUAGGUUGUCAUCCCUAGCAUGGCGCCAGAGUGUACAAAGGUAUUUAUAAAUGUAAAGGCUCUCUAGAAAAUAAUCUAUUCUAUCCGCAAGCGCACAGAUAAAACACCUCAUUGUAGCAUUUCACCAGGAUAAGUAUUCCAGGUAUCGUUAUUUAUAAUUUUGCUCAAGGGAUCUAAAGAAGAUGGAAUUAAAUCAAGGGACAAAAUCUAUCAAGGCAUAGACUAGAGAUAAACUUGCAAGAACAUGAUUACUAAUAAGAAACUCGUCACACAGUCACAUACUUAAGCAGGGGGUAAACCAUAAAGAUAAUGAUAAUAAAGUAUAAGUUCAUGGGUAGAUGACACAGCGAUUAGAAAAUAGACUACUCCUCAUAUAUGUAGGUGAUGUCGGAUUAGCUAGAGAAUGGAUUCUAAGUUAUCUACUAACUACUAAGUCAUAAUCUACUCUAGUUAUCUACAAAAUCAUAUAUAGCAUAAAAGACUCUUCAUUCAUGUAUAAGGAACAUUGAUAAAGUAAAUCAGAGCAUCGCAUGACUUACUCCACAAUACCGGUUCUGCCUGUCCUAUCAACGGAGGGUGGACUAUAUAAGAAUCAACGAAGCUGUCACUAUCGCGAACUACCACACGACCCGGCCAAUAGGAUACAUUUGCAGAUAAAUAACAUCUAAGCACCACGCUCACAUGUGAUCUAUCACCUAACUCCCUCGCGACAAGAGCUAAGCGCUUUGCAAACUUAUACAUAAACUCAUUAUCAAUUAGAACUAUAUCAAAUAUAGAACUAGAGCAAACUAAGAACAUAAUAAUUAGAGACAUAAUGCAAUUAGAACAAUAGAAUUAGAGAAAGAUAUGAAUAAUACCAAUCUUUAUUACCGAAGAUCCGAAUCCAGAGCGUAGUGCUCUACUUCUCUAAUUGAUAUCUAAUCAACCUCUAAACUUGAAGGAUUAGGGAGUAGCUAAUUCUAAUUCUCUGUGGGAGAGAAGCUCUAAACCCUAACUUCAAUGGCUACCUCUGAAUAAUGAUUUCUCCUCUCUUCCUCCAGGGGCCAGGGGGUCUGGUUUUAUAGUCCCCUCAAGUGAACAUGAGCCAUUGGAUCAAACCGACAUAGAUUGUAUGGUUUAGAUUGAUCCUUUAGGUCGGUGGAGCGUUGUCCCGAAGCAGAGUCCUGUUUGGCCUCCAACCCUGGGCGGGCGCCCAAGGGGGGUGGGCGGGCGCCCAGCCCCCGAGCCCGAAUCGCCUCCCGUUCGUUCCCGUGGCUUCUAGAUCCUUCUAGAUGGAGAAAAAUUGAGCGGCACGUAAUUAUCUCGUUGUAAACAUGACAUGUGGGCCUUCUCUCCAUAUUUUCUGUUAAACCCCUGCAGAAAUAGAUAAACACCAAAACUCGUGGAAUUCUGUCAGAUAAAACCCUAAUUCUAGAUGUUUGUUUCAUAUUGAUCCUUUUUCAUGUUUAUUUGAUUAUUAAUUUUAGUACUUAAGGACCGUCAACAAACUCCCCUAAGCUUACCCUGUGCUCGUCCCUGAGCAAACAGCUAAACUCAGACGGAUCAGGAGUUGCUUCGAUGUUUUCUUUCCUGACAGGCACACAUGCUUUUACAUAAAAAUUCUUCCAGAUUAGAGUGAAGUGUUAUGGAGUUUAGUACCUGCACUUAAAUCUUAAGUAAUUGAAAGACAAAAUAGUUAAGUCAAGCACUAUCCCUCCUGUCUAUAGUUCACUUUUGUUCUAGAGUUUUUUCAUAAGUUUUCAAAAUAAAACUCAGAGUUCCUAGCAAUAAUCUCUUAAGUCUCUCUAUAUGUGGUAUUUGUGGAUCCUUACCAUGAUAUCACUUACCUAUAGCUAAUGGAAUAUUUAAGUGGAGCUCAUAGGAGUGGAAAACAGCUCAUACAUAUGUUGUCUAAUCGAGCCAUGGAUCCAAAGGAACUCAGCAUAUAAUUAAAUCAAGAUGUGCAUGUGUGAUGGAGUAAAUGAUAGUGAUGGUGAAAAUGCAUAAGUGAUAAUAGUAAAAUUUAGUUCUCAUUGCUCCUUAUAUUGCUAUCUCUCCUCUUCUUUGAUCUUUGCCUUGGGAGAACAUGGGCUAUCUUUUUCUUUUCAUUUCUCUUUCUUUUUUUUCAGGUGGGUAGUAGAUACCCCUAAUUCUACUGUCGGACACUUGUCCAUUUUUUCCGCUCAAGUGGGCAUCUUUGUACCCCUAAUUCUACUUCGGACACUUGUCCAUUUUUACCUCUCGUCUCACUCUUUUUCUUUCUUUUCCCGAGGUUUCCGGGCACUUGCCCCUUUUUAUUUCCUCGUAUAUUUUUGCAUAACCCAUGCCUCUUCUGCAUUGAAUCUUUUUAGAGAGAGAGAAUAACAAUACUUGGGACAGUGAGUGAUUAUAUUUUUAGCAAUUUUAAUGAAUGGUGGUGGAUGCUGUGGUAGAUGUGUGCAAGUGCAUAUCUUAAUUUAACCACAUGAAAAGCUCCUAAGGGUCGACACAGCUCGAUCAAACUCAAUGUAAAUAUAGUAAAAGAUGUUAUAGCAAGUAUGGCUGUGGUAGGUAGUUUGUUAUGCUAGGAACUCAUCAUGUGAUUUGUAAGUUUUCAAAAUAAAUCUCCAGAACUUAGUGUAGUAGGAACAAGAUAAACAGUGGAUCAACUUUAUAUCAUGCCUUUCUCUCACCUAGACUUUAGUUUUAUGCUUCCCAAAGAUAGUAAUUUUAGUUUUAGUAAUUCCUGGAAGAAUUCUAAUAUAAAAGCAAGUUACUUGUAAGUAAGCAAAUAGAGCAACUGUUCAUCAUUUCCAUCAUGCAUAUUUUUGGUCUUUUUAUUUUUUCUAGAGAUUAAACUUAGUAAAAAAAUAAAACACACUUAUCUACACACUCUUUUUAUUUUGUUUUCAUGUUUAUAAAGUGCAGUAAAUUAAAGCAAGAAAAUAUUUAUUUGGUUUUCUAAGUUUUUCCUUUUAAGAUAAAUUAAAUACUAAGAUAGAAUAGUAUAAAUAAGAAGAGCAAAUAAAAACUUACUUGAUAAAUUUGGGAGGAACUCCCCCAAGCUGGAUGUUGCCGUCGGUCUUACCCGAUGUUCCAGAACCGCAUCAUGGUUGUGAUGUUGUCGUUCAUUGUUGUUGUAUCUUGUCUCAGCUCUUCUACUGCAGCGGCAUGGUCCUGGUUCCAUUUUUGUUGCUCUUCCAGGAGUCUUCCAUGUUUUGCUUGCGUGUUCUGGAUGUCGAGGAGGGUGUUGUCGGUACGAGUGAAGAAAGCACUGGCCUCUUGAUAGUAGUCAUUUGUGAAGGCGUAGGAGGCGUCGGAGUAUCGUUCUGCAUCAAAUUGGGGUGGAGGUCUGGAUCCUGAAGCUCCAUAUGGAUCAGUGGAGUACCUGCCCGUAUGAAAAGGCGGGUUUGUCCACUGGUGAUCUUGGCUCCCCGGCCAUGUCUCCUCUGUUGGCUCUUGUGGUUGCGCAUGACGAGCCCAUGGGUCUCGAAGGACUCGAGGGUUGUAAUCGCAAUAAUGCAGGUGUGCUGCUUCUUCUGGUCCAGGGUCAGCUCCAUACCAAGUGCGUUCUCGGUGAGUGGUUAUCCUUUCAGAUGCCACUCGCUGUGGAGUUCUCUGGUUCACUGGUGUUGCUGCAAUCUCAAUCAAAAAGUUUUGCACAGAGUAGAGGCCAAGGUUCGGGUUAGGUAACCGAAUCUUGCCUUUAUCAUCAUAUAGCAUAUACAUUAUAUUCCCCUCUUUCUUUAACAUCCGAGCUUGUCUAAAUGUGUCAUAGCCAUGGUAAAUUCUGAAUUCUUCUACGAAGUCCAACGAUGAGUUUUCUAGUAAGUGAAGAUUAGUGGCUAGACGAGUGAUAAGUGAAGUACAUCCUACUGGUCCCUAAAGACUAGGUAUACUAAGCCAAUGUCAAACUAAUAGUGUAAUAGGUGAAGUGGGUAUUUUACUAAUAGCAGCAUAUAAAAGUUGUAAAUCUCCUACUCUCACUUUCCUAAUAUCAUCACGAUAGAAAAGAUUGUACCCAAGCCAUUUGUGAAACAUCCUAAGAGUGGGGUGUUCCAUGUCACUGGUUCGGGCUUGACUAUAAAAAUUAUCUCUAGAUAUUUCUCUCCAAAACUGGUGUCUCUCAAAAUUGGGUAAAUCGGAGUCAAUGUUCAGGAUGCAUCUUGAAGAGAAACCAAGAUGGUCGCUCAGCUCUCUCCAAGAUAAUAUAAUUUCCUGUUUAAACAUCCGAAAAACAAUUCCCCCCUCAUAGUAUUGUAAAGUGCAAAGAAAUUCGAGGGUGAGAAGACGAGAACCCAGCUCAGUUAUAUUCCAAAAAUUUGUCCAACCCAACAUCUGGAAAAUUAAGUCAAAUUCAGUGUCCAUACCUGUUUCUUGUAGUAGGGUUGGAUCGAUAGUAGGGGUGUGAAUGAAAUCUUUGUUCUUCAGUUGCUGAUAGACUUCCUUCUCUCUUCGGGUCUUCAGUCCUAGGUCUCCUAUCUUGAGAAGGACCUUAACUUGCUGACCUGAUGAAGAUGAUGGAGCUUGCGUGGGUGUCGGGUCGACGCUCAUCUCUGAUGGCUGUGAGGAGUGUCGGGAUGAACUCCUUGUACCAAUGUUCUUAAGAGCCUUCCCUGCAUUCUUCACCUUCUUAAACAUCCUGCAAACAAAAGUUGGCAAAAACACAACUGGUGGAAAAUGUGAGAUAAAAUGUUAGUGGUCAGCUGUCCGGAGUGUUAGUAGUCCAGGGGUUAAUCAUUCAAGUCAAGUUUCUAUUUUGGUAGACCCUUCCCCUAAAUAACUUUUACUUCCGGUUGGACAGCGGGAUCACUAUUUGCUAAGUGACAAUCACUUUCUCAAAAGAACUCCAACCUUCCCUUCCACUCUCCUCUUUCUCUCUACUCUCUUCUCUUCACUACAAAAGCUCCUUCUCGGGAAACUGAGAUUUGUGUGGUUUUCUGAAGUGUGUGUGUGAAGAGAAGGGGAGCUGGAGGUGGCCUUUUAUAAGCUGAGCAGGGGACAGGGCGGGCGCCCUUGGUAGUUGGGCGGGCGCCCUCUUGUGAUGCCCAUCCUGGGUGUGCCUCCUCCACAUGUUUCCUUGCUUUGAUCUCACACAGAAUAAUGUUGUGUUGGUGGUGGUUGGACGGUGGAAAGAUGUCAAGUGAGUGGAAACAUAUUGGUGGAUGAAAUUAUGUGACGGGAUGUAUGUGAGAUGAAGUGUAUGACAUGUGGGACCCAAAGAGUGUGGGUCAUGCUUCUAGAAGAUUUAUAUGAUUAAAUAUAAUGCAGGAAAAUCUAUGAGAAUCGAAACUUAUUGAAAAUGAUAUUGGAAAAUAUUUUUGUGCCCCCACAAUAAUUAAUAAAUAUGGGUUGUUACACACCACGAAUAUUAUUUAUCUGGGGCUUUUUGAUUAUUAUAAUAAUGCUAUGAAUAAAUGUGACUAAUGCAAGAUUUAAUUAUGCAAGAAAUUAAAUAUGAGAAAAAUAAUAAUGCGGAUAAAUACCGAUUUACCUCCCGGUGAGGGUUUGGGAUUUUUAGGUCCCCCAAGCUGGACCUCCAAUUCUUUUAAUCUUCUGAGUUUCCUUCCUCCGGAGAUGGUGUCUCCAGUGGUUCUUCAUGAACUUCCUUCACUGAAGAGUCUCUCUCUGGUCUGGGUUUGAAUGUGAAGUGUUCUUCUUGUCCGUUUAUGUUGAACUUGAUUUUUCCCUUCCCGACAUCAAUGUGGGCAUUGGCAGUGCUCAGAAACGGCCUUCCAAGGAUGAUGGAUACUUUCAAGUCAGGACUCAUGUCCAGUACUACGAAGUCUACUGGCACAAGGAAAUCUCUGAUCUUGACUGGAAUGUUCUCGGCGAUGCCCAACGGGUGUCGAACCGAUUGAUCCGCUAGUUGUAGGCACAUUGAUGUUGGUUCUAAGGUUGCAUGCUCAAGCUUUUUGUAGACUGAUGCUGGCAUCACACUGACACUUGCUCCGAGAUCACAAAGUGCAUUGUUGAAGUGUUGGUUUCCGAUCGAGCAAUCAAUAGUGGGGCAUCCUGGAUCUUCCUUUUUCUUUGGUGGUUUGUUGAGGAUGGCCGCACUACAUUCUUCUGUCAGCUUGAUAACCUCAGUGGUGGGCAGUGGUCUCUUCUUUUUAAGAAUAUCUCUGAUGUACUUUGCAUAUGUAGGUACCUGUAUGGCAUCGAGCAGAGGUAUGUUGACAUAUAAUUUCUGAAUGACCUCUACAAACUUACCAAACUGCUCAUCCGACUGCAGUCCUCUGUUUCUUCUGGGAAAUGGCAAAUAGUUGGUGUCGUAAAAAUCUUUCCUUAUUUCUCUAGUUCUUGGUGGUUGGAGCAGAUCUUCUGCUUCAACUGGGCUUUCUUCUUCUAUCACUGCUGGUUGCACUGGUGCUGAUGUUCUUUGUUUCUCUUUUGGGUAUGGUGGAUCUCUGGUGGCUUUGCCUCCUCCAGUAGUUAUAUUCUUUACCUGCUCAAUGUUAGUAGCAACAGGCAGUGCAGCAGCUAUCUUUAUUAAUUUAAGCUCUACCCUUUUAUUAAGAGUGUUUUGCUCAUCAAAGGCAGUUAGUAGAAAAUUCAUUUUAUUGUGUAUAUCUUUUAGAGAUGAUUCAUUUGUAUCUAGCCUUUGUUUAACUUCAUCAUUAAUUUUGGUUUGUUGAGCAAUUAUCUCUUUUAAUGAAAGUUGCUUGAAAGUAUUACCUGAAUUCAUACCUUUGCUAUUGGAUUGACUCGAAGUUGGUUGAUAUUUGUAUGCUGUCUCAAUGGCCCUUUGAUCUUCUUUAAACUUGGCCCUCUGGUCAAUCCAAUGGAGCAAAUUUUCCAUCUUAGUUGAUAAUGCUUUUACUUCUUCUGGUAUUUCCUCAGUUUGAUGACAUUGUUGAGCUUUAUCUUGGAACCAGCUUUGGUUUUCUGCUAUCUUAUCCAAAAGUAUCUCUGCUUUUCCAGUUGUAAGCUCCAAGAAUGAUCCUUUAGCAGAUGCAUCUAGGCACUCACGAGUCUUCUGGGUUAAUCCAUGGUAGAAGGUCUGCAUAAGUAACCAUGUGGCCAUUCCAUGGUGAGGACAAUCUGAUAUGUAUCCUUGAAAACGCUCCCAUGCUUCUGAAAUGGCUUCUGUCUUCUGCUGUUGGAAACUGACAAUAUUUCCUCUUAAGGCAGUUGUUUUGCCUAUAGGGAAAAACUUUGAUAGAAAGGCAUCUGACAAGUUCGUCCAGUUGUUGAUGUUAUCUUGAUGAGUGUAGAACCACUUCCUCGCUUUCCCUUCUAGUGAGAAUGGAAAAAGGCGAAGUAGUAUGAUGUCUUUGUCAACUCCGUUGAUGUGGAUUGUGCUUCCAAUCUCUAAGAAAUUCUGCAAGUGUGCACUGGCAUCUUCAUGUGCCUUUCCACUGAAUUGUGUAGCUUGUACCAAAUUGAUGAGGCUUGACUUGAGCUCAAACUCAUGUAUUCCUUCUUCUACUGCAAAUCUUGGACCAGUUGGAAUGUUCUCAAGGCUUGGAGCAGAGAAUUCUUGCAAGGUCUUUUGUGCCAUAGCUUCAGCAAUUGGUAGCUAGCUUCUUCUUCUCUUGAUUGCUUUGGUUCUGAUGAUGGAGAGUUGAAUGUACCCAAAGUCAAUCCUGUUAUACCCUGUAUAAAAAUAUAAACAUAGAAAAACAACAGGGUGAACCUGCCAAAGCAGCGGUGCCUUGUUAUGAUUUCUCACUUAGUAGCUGUUUUUAUGCAAUUAUUUCUCUAUAGUCUAGUCUAAAAUCUUAUAUGAAUAACCUUGAUUGAUUUUCUGGCUUUCCUUAAUAUUACCCUUUUGUUCCCUUUAAUGACUUAUUCCUGAGACUCAUAUAAUUCCAAUAAGAUCCUAUAAAUUCCUAUAAAUCCCCGGCAAAAGCGCCAGAAAUGCUUGUUGACACUAGCUAACACCACUUAGAUACUAGGUUGUCAUCCCUAGCAUGGCGCCAGAGUGUAUAAAGGUAUUUAUAAAUGUAAAGGCUCUCUAGAAAAUAAUCUAUUCUAUCCGCAAGCGCACAGAUAAAACACCUCAUUGUAGCAUUUCACCAGGAUAAGUAUUCCAGGUAUCGUUAUUUAUAAUUUUGCUCAAGGGAUCUAAAGAAGAUGGAAUUAAAUCAAGGGACAAAAUCUAUCAAGGCAUAGACUAGAGAUAAACUUGCAAGAACAUGAUUACUAAUAAGAAACUCGUCACACAAUCACAUACUUAAGCAGGGGGUAAACCAUAAAGAUAAUGAUAAUAAAGUAUAAGUUCAUGGGUAGAUGACACAGCGAUUAGAAAAUAGACUACUCCUCAUAUAUGUAGGUGAUGUCGGAUUAGCUAGAGAAUGGAUUCUAAGUUAUCUACUAACUACUAAGUCAUAAUCUACUCUAGCUAUCUACAAGAUCAUAUAUAGCAUAAAAGACUCUUCAUUCAAGUAUAAGGAACAUUGAUAAAGUAAAUCAGAGCAUCGCAUGACUUACUCCACAAUACCGGUUCUGCCUGUCCUAUCAACGGAGGGUGGACUAUAUAAGAAUCAACGAAGCUGUCACUAUCGCGAACUACCACACGACCCGGCCAAUAGGAUACAUUUGCAGAUAAAUAACAUCUAAGCACCACGCUCACAUGUGAUCUAUCACCUAACUCCCUCGCGACAAGAGCUAAGCGCUUUGCAAACUUAUACAUAAACUCAUUAUCAAUUAGAACUAUAUCAAAUAUAGAACUAGAGCAAACUAAGAACAUAAUAAUUAGAGACAUAAUGCAAUUAGAACAAUAGAAUUAGAGAAAGAUAUGAAUAAUACCAAUCUUUAUUACCGAAGAUCCGAAUCCAGAGCGUAGUGCUCUACUUCUCUAAUUGCUAUCUAAUCAACCUCUAAACUUGAAGGAUUAGGGAGUAGCUAAUUCUAAUUCUCUGUGGGAGAGAAGCUCUAAACCCUAACUUCGAUGGCUACCUCUGAAUAAUGAUUUCUCCUCUCUUCCUCCAGGGGCCAGGGGGUCUGGUUUUAUAGUCCCCUCAAGUGAACGUGAGCCAUUGGAUCAAACCGACAUAGAUUGUAUGGUUUAGAUUGAUCCUUUAGGUCGGUGGAGCGUUGUCCCGAAGCAGAGUCCUGUUUGGCCUCCAACCCUGGGCGGGUGCCCAAGGGGGGUGGGCGGGCGCCCAGCCCCCGAGCCCGAAUCGCCUCCCGUUCGUUCCCGUGGCUUCUAGAUCCUUCUAGAUGGAGAAAAAUUGCGCGGCACGUAAUUAUCUCGUUGUAAACAUGACAUGUGGGCCUUCUCUCCAUAUUUUCUGUUAAACCCCUGCAGAAAUAGAUAAACACCAAAACUCGUGGAAUUCUGUCAGAUAAAACCCUAAUUCUAGAUGUUUGUUUCAUAUUGAUCCUUUUUCAUGUUUAUUUGAUUAUUAAUUUUAGUACUUAAGGACCGUCAACAAUUACCACAUUUGUUACAAAAAUAACUUACAUCGGAGUGCGGAAGAUUUAUAACUCAAUUUACAACAUAUGAUGGAAUAUAAACAACUAAAUUUUCAAAAGGUGUGUAGAGUAGCGGAAGCAUCUUAGGUGAAGCUUCUAAGGUAGAAGAGGUGGACAAAUCAUGUCGCGACCACCAACAUGACCUCCAUUAGCAGCAUAAGUCAGCACCUACAACAGGGUUUAUAGAACCCUGAGUACGGGAGUACUCAACAAGACUUACCCAUUAGAAAAAGAGAACUUAGGAAUGCAGGCUCAGGGUAGACAAGGGGUGGCUGAGUAAGGAGCCAAAUUGUUUUGCUGAAAAGCUUACUAAUAGUGCAUCCUUACUUUCAAGUUUUAACCACGAAUUCCUCUCCUCAAGAGGUCGAGGAGUUCGAGGACAGUCUAUCUAAUUGCUUCUCACAUACAAGUCUGUAUGUUCCUAGUCCUUAAUCAAAGUAUUAUCCAUCCAACGGCCAUAGCUUCAUGUCACUCUGAGUCCGGGAAUUGGGAUCCUGUGGCAGAACCACCCUAAUUAUAUGGCCCACAUGCACCUGUCAUUGUCCUUAAGACCUCUGACUACUGCACAUGAGAGUCAUAUAACUCGGAUAGUCUGUCGGGUGCCCUCAGAGGACCCCGAAUCAUUCACAUUUUUUUACUCAUACAGGAUCAACAAGGAGUUACCACAACAUUACAACAUUUGUUACAAAAAUAACUUACAUCAGAGUGCGGAAGAUUUAUAACUUAAUUUACAACAUAUGAUGGAGUAUAAACAACUAAAUUUCCAAAAGGUGUGUAGAGUAGCGGAAGCAUCUUAGGUGAAGCUUCUAAGGUAGAAGAGGUGGAUAAAUCAUGUCGCGCCCACCGACAUGACCUCCAUAGCAGCAUAAGUCGGCACCUGCAACAGGGGUUAUAAAACCCUGAGUACUGGAGUACUCAACAAGACUUACCCGGCGGGAAAAGAGGAGACCUUAGGAAUGGAGGCUUAGGGUAGACAAGGAGUGGCUGAGCAAUGAGCCAAAUUGUUUUGCCAAAAAGCUUACUAAUAGUGCAUCCUUACUUUCAAGUUUUACCCACGAAUUCCUCUCCUUAAGAGGUCGAGGAGUUCGAGGACAGUCUAUUUCUCCUUAAGAGGUCGAGGAGUUCGAGGACAGUCUAUCUAGUUGCUUCUCACAGACAAGUCUGUAUGUUCCUAGUCCUUAAUCAAAGUAUUAUCCAUCCAACGGCCAUAGCUUCAUGUCACUCUGAGUCCGGGAAUUGGGAUCCUGUGGCAGAACCACCCUAAUUAUAUGGCCCACAUGCACCUGUCAUUGUCCUUAAGACCUCUGACUACUGCACAUGAGAGUCAUAUAACUCGGAUAGUCUGUCGGGUGCCCUCAGAGGACCCCGAAUCAUCCACAUUUUUUACUCAUACAGGAUCAACAUGGAGUUACCACAACAUUACAACAUUUGUUACAAAAAUAACUUACAUCGGAGUGCGGAAGAUUUAUAACUUAAUUUACAACAUAUGAUGGAGUAUAAACAACUAAAUUUCCAAAAGGUGUGUAGAGUAGCGGAAGCAUCUUAGGUGAAGCUUCUAAGGUAGAAGAGGUGGAUAAAUCAUGUCGCGCCCACCGACAUGACCUCCAUAGCAGCAUAAGUCAGCACCUGCAACAGGGGUUAUAAAACCCUGAGUACUGGAGUACUCAACAAGACUUACCCGGUGGGAAAAGAGGAGAACUUAGGAAUGCAGGCUUUGGGUAGACAAGGAGUGGCUGAGCAAGGAGCCAAAUUGUUUUGCCAAAAAGCUUACUAAUAGUGCAUCCUUACUUUCAAGUUUUACCCAUGAAUUCCUCUCCUUAAGAGGUCGAGGAGUUCGAGGACAGUCUAUCUUGUUGCUUCUCACAGACAAGUCUGUAAGUUCCUAGUCCUUAAUCAAAGUAUUAUCUAUCCAACGGCCAUAGCUUCAUGUCACUCUGAGUUCGGGAAUUGGGAUCCGAACCUCAUGCGACAUUUCCCCCUUUUUCAUUUUACAACUUAGUUGCAUAUUUAACUACGAUGAGGGUCAGUGGAUUGAGUCUCCCAAUCGGGGAGCAACGACGAUUUGAACCGCUUAGCAAUCCAGCUGGAGUUCCUAACCACCCGACAUAUGUAGAACCAAAUCUUGCAUAUGUCAACCCAAAUCAAGCUUUCCCCAAAUUUGACUAGGUUCGCGGCACCCGAGAGCACAGUACUCCACCAUCCUACAGCCGAUCUAGAUGUUUUCCGGUCAUCUCAGAUCCGUAAGGUGGGUACACGCUACUCUCGCCAUCGCUCCACGCCCAGUGCGCGAGUACUGUUCGUGUCGAGGGAUCACAAGACCGGGCUUACCGAGGGCAAGUGGCUAGUACUAUAAAUUCUCAACCCAGCGGGCCAUCAACGGACCGGUCCUUAACCGACACAGUUGGAGACACUACUUUAAGACUCCAUUCUUAAAGCAAGUCCACCGACCGGUCUCAAAUUGAAAUAUCAUUGAUCAUAAAUGUAUUCCACAACAACCCUUCAAACUUUCUGGUUUGAAAACCUAUCUAGUAGCAGGGCUAAGCAUUACUACGCGAUUUUAAAAUAAAACAGGUGUCAAGGACAGGAUAACAAAUAUCAAGGUAGUAAAUGCAGCAAGUAGGUUAACCCAAUUCUCAACUACCUAAUGCAGCAUUUUCAAUUCGUAAGUGAUAAAAGAUUUAAAAUAUUCAAGGAGGGGUUAAUGCAUCCGGGGCUUGCCUUGGUUGCAGAGCUAAUAGGGACCCUCGGAGACUUCCCAAGUCUCGGAUCCUAAUUCCUCGAACGGAGCACCGACCUCGGGGUUCGGUUCAACGGUUGCUCCUUCGGUCCCGUGCACUAUACGCAAAAUGAUGGAUGCUCAUGAUAUGCGUAUGACAAUUAUUUAAGAAGGACCGAGUUGAGUACAACUCUCCUCCUCGGUGCAAGGACACGUUAAACAGUAAUUAAAGUUGUUUGUCAUUUUAGUGUUCUUACCCAAGAGGAUGCAUCAAGAAAUUAAGAUUUCUCUAAAUUCAUAAUUAAUCUUAAUUAACUGACUAUUAACCCUUUUUAUCUUAAUUAAUUCUUAAUUAAGUAUUAAUGGCAGUAAUUAAGUAUUAAUACCAAACAGUAAUUAAAUGUCAAAGGUCAUUAAGGUUAAUGACCUCAGGUCAUCACACAAUUCUAAAAUCACUCAAACCCUAAUAUUGAGAAUUUAACUAAUUAUUAUCUAAUUAUUCUAGAAUUAUUAUUUAAUUACUAAUUAAGGGUUUAAUAAUAUUUUAUUCAAACAUUAUCCAAAUGCCACCAAAUUUUGUGUGAAGCCUGGGAAUAAUAUUCAGAGGCUUCUCACAAUUUUUGGUGAUUUUUGGAUAUACUCACAAAUUAUGAAAAUUCAUGGAAGUUUUAUUCAUUAAAUAAAAGAGACAAAUUUUAUAUAUAUGCAAACUACCAGAAAAUAGAAUCCCAUAUUUUUCCUGUGUUCUAUUUAUUUUAUAGAGCCUACACAAAAAUUGCCAUGAUUUUUGAAUCAGUAAACAAUUUUCUACACAAAAUCAAACAUACAAUAACUUUUGUAUAAAAAGAAAAAGGAAAACAACACUAUGCCGCGAGCGGCCCAGGAACUCGGCCCGCAGGCCGGCCCGUCCGCGCUCGGCCCAUGCGCGCGCUGCGUGCGCCUCCUCCCUCCUCAGGCGGUCACUGACGGGCGGGUCCCGCCCGUCAGACCCUUCUUCUACCUCCCGCCACCGGCUCGGCCGACCUCCGGCACGCCGUCGGUGAGCCUUCGGCUCUUGUGGUGGAGCGGUCUAGCUUCCCCGGCUUCUCGCGCAUCCUGUGGGACACUCAAAUCAUGUGUGUUGAUGCAAAAACUAGUCUGCAAACACAAAGGGCUAAUACCCGAUCCAAACGUUAAGGCGUGCCAGCCGAUUUGACCUUACUAUCGGCAAAGAUGAUAACUCGAAUACUUUAGUCCUGACAACAGCGAUACGCCCGGAUGUCACGGCUAAGAGGUACUCACGCGGAACUUGAGGAUACGCCGAGCUUGAGUCGACGAAUUCCUAAGAACUCGUAACAAAAAGAAAACGUAUGACGAAGUCGUCGAAAAGUAAAUGCUGGAAUAUGAGUAAAAAACGUAUGUUUGAUUGAUUGAUAGAUAUAUGAUUACAAGGUCUUAGGGCUUAUAUUUAUACCCUGCUCAAAGAGCUACGACCAGACACGAUUAGAAUUCGAAUUCCAAAUUACACGGAACCCGUAUACAAAACGAUACGAAUAACAUAAGGAAAUAAUAAAACCAUCCUUCGUGACAAACCGAAAUUCCUCCACAUGACAACUGGCAGCUUCCGGACUCCUCCUUCGCGUCAUCGGCAAUCCCCUUGCCAUAGUCAUCGGCAGACCCUUUUACUUGGCCAUCGGCACCAUAUUACUGUCUGAGGACUUAGUCACAUUCAACCUUUCCCUCAUCGGCAACCAUCCUUACCAGCAACCCGCAUCGUACUGCCACCCUGUCCUGCCAUCCUGGACACGUGCCCAAAAAUGGUGUCAACACAUGCCCCCCAGUUUCGGAGUAUAAAACUAUUAAUGCUCUGAAAUUCUCUGCAGUAAUGAUGUUUUCUCCGCAAUUAAUGCUCCUAAUCUGGUAACCGACAACCUCAAUCUGGGCAACUCUGAUCCUAAUCCUCCGCAGAUCCCUCGAAAUCCACAACUUCCCAAACGGGCAUCUCUCUUAGUCGUACAUCGGCAACAAUACCGUUACAAAGAUCUGCCGAUGCUCUGCCCAGGAUAUUCGCAAAAACGGUUACUUCCCCUCUAUCCGCCCAUCGGCAGGACGACCGUUAUAGAAUAUCACCGAUGGACCGACCAGGAGAUCGCGCACAGUAAAAUAUCUUUAGAUAAUGACCGCUUCCUGUCAAAUCACCUGCACAAUCCCUGGAUUAUCGUGCGAACAGUUACCAUAUCCACUUGAGUACCCUCGGGUUUCUCGGAUGCGGCAAAGAAAUAAGUCAGAUUUGCCCUUGUCCAUCUUGCCCUAUAAAUAGUUCCUUCUUGGGUACUCCUCCCCCAUUACAUUAUUCUGCCAUCCAACUUCACUUUUCCAGCGGCGGCGCCAUUCUCAAUCCUCAAGAUCUCCGACAAGCAUUCUUCUUCAUCAACUCCGGCGUCUUCCAGCGUCCCCUUCACGACAAGAUGGCCGUUGGCUUCGUCGUUCCUGAGGUCAGACUUCCAUCUCAUCUGCUGUACCUUUUUCCUGCAUUCCUGUUCAUCUGCGAUUUACCUUACCGAAUAUUUUCCUUCUCCUUUUUCUUUGUAUCUUUAUUCCCCAAAACACCAGGAGUUAUCCAACAAAAUUGUCAUUCCUACCGAUCAACCACAUCUUCAAUGCCUCGGCCCUCUAGGGGAUCCAGAUCCAACCGACCUUAUCAACGCAGAAACCAACAGGAUUCCCUUUAGAGCUGAAAACUUUGCUCUAGAUCUAUGGAAGGACACCUUUCGCUCUUGGCCUAGCCCUAAUGUAGGGUGGAAAGACUGGUUCUUGAGGGUCAGCAACUCUUAUGAAGUUCAAUGGGGUGAGAGGAAAUUAGCUCAAUGCAUUAGGCUGUCCAUUGCCGAUAUGCACAGGAACGAGUCAUUGCUGAUAGCCGCAUCUUACUUUUGGUCAGACACUCUCAACGCUUUUGUUUUUGGCCAUGGCCCUGCUUCUCCUACCCUUGCCGAUGUAGCCAUGCUUACUGGGUUAGACAUAUCUUCUGCCGAUAGCACCCACUUUUUUGAUACCGCCCCCAGUGCCAAAGUGGAGACUCGCGCUAUCGGCGGCUGGUCAGGGUACAUCCAGAAGUACCGCGGGAGAGGGCCUGUCACCAUAAAGGAACAAACCACUUUUCUGAACAUGUGGCUAGACAAGUUUGUAUUCUGUGGUCGAUCGGCAGGACCGACUUCUGUCUAUCUAUCGGCAGCAGAAAGACUGGCUAGCGGUGGUCAAUUUCCUCUCGGCCGUUAUUUGCUCGGCGCUGUUUAUCACCUUCUUCAUCAGGUAGUCCAGAAACUCCUGCUCGGCCAACCUAUCGGCAACUUGGGAGGUCCUUGGUGGUUUAUUAAUAUGUGGCUCAAUCUGCACCUGCACAAGCGCCUCGAUCUCAACUUGUUCUCUCAGCACUUCCCAAGAGAUAUAGCCGAGAACCAUGUGUUGGGUGAAGAGGAAUCGGCAACACGUGCCCCCCUGAACUUUGGCGAAGCUGUUAUAGUUUUACCCGGUUCAGGGAACACUCCGGAUCAGAUCGGCCGAUUCUUCGAAACGCUGUAUGAGGGUCUGGCCAGAGAUGAACGACCAUGGCUGGCUUAUGACGACCCAGAUAGCAUGCUCCCUCUGACCUUCAAUCCGUUCGACGAAGCUCUUGAUAGGGACAAUGAGGUGAUGAUGGCAAUCGUGACUCCCAGAGCCAUACCAAAAAUAUCCAUUCCUUCGAAUCAUCCACUUCAUCUUAAAAGCUGACUGAUGCGCUCCACACACUCCUUCAUGGAUUUCUCCCAUCAAACUUCUGGCUUCAUCAUCACCCAAGCAUCGGAGAAGAAUUCCGUCGAUAGUUCGAUAAUACAAUUCAUUUUCAAGGAGCACAUACUUGGUUGCUUGAAAUCAAACCCGUCUUUCAACUUUUUUGGAUGGAUCUUUUAGAUAAUCAAUAAUUUCCUCCCUCCAAUCACCGGCACUGACUACCGAUGUCGCAUUAAUCAUUGGCUGAUAUCCCGAGGCAUGCUGGGCUAACCGAUUAGCGUCUUCAUUAUGCAAUCGGGGAAUAUGCUCCAAUCGGAAGUUCUUGAAUUCCUUUAACAGUUGUAUACUUCUCUCGAAAUAGGUUAUGAGAACUUCACUCCGGCAUUCAUAGCUUCCGGCCAAUUGAUUUAUAACCAACAUGGAAUCUCCGAAUACUUCAACAGCAUCAGCACGAACUUCUCUUAACAACUCCAAUCCCCUGAUCAGAGCUUGAUACUCAGCCUGAUUAUUUGUUGAUGUAGCAACAAUCGGCAAGGAAAAUUCAUACUUCCUCCCCUUAGGAGAAACUAAUACAAUGCCGAUUCCUGCUCCCCGGUCACAGGUAGAUCCAUCAAAGAAGAGCGUCCAGGGUGCAAUUUCCAAGGUUUCCACUAGACCGCAAUGCUGAGUCACAAAAUCGGCCAUAACCUGCCCUUUGACCGCCUUAGCCGAUUCGUAACGCAAAUCGAACUCCGACAGCGCCAAAACCCAUUUACCGAUCCUACCACUCAUAAUCGGCAUAGAUAGCAUGUAUCGGACCACGUCAUCUUUGCAAACAACAGCACAUUCGGCCGACAACAGGUAAUGUCUUAGCUUGAUACAUGAAAAAUAUAAGCAUAAGCACAGCUUCUCAAUGGCCGAAUACCUGGUUUCAGCAUCAAUUAACCUCCUACUCAAAUAAUAAAUUACCCUCUCUUUCCCUUCAAAUUCUUGAACCAAAGCUGAACCGAUAACUGAUCCAUCGGUAGAUAAAUAUAAUUUGAAGGGUUUCCCUUGUUGAGGUGGAACUAAAACUGGAGGGUUUACUAGAUACCUUUUGAUUUCAUCUAGAGCCAACUGCUGUUCUUUUCCCCAAACAAACUCCUGAUCGGCUUUCAAUUUAAGAAGAGGACUGAAAGCACGAAUUCUCCCAGAUAAAUUCGAUAUAAAUCUUCUGAUAAAAUUCACUUUGCCGAUCAAAGAUUGGAGCUCGGUUUUAUUGGUAGGGGCCACUAUUUUAUUGAUAGCGUCAAUAGAUCUUCGACUAAUUUCAAUACCCCUCUGAUGUACCAUGAAACCAAGAAACUGCCCUGCCGAUACACCAAAUGCACACUUGUUGGGAUUCAUCUUCAAUCCAUGCUUCCUUGUGCACUCCAACACUCUUCGUAAAUCGGCAAGAUGCUUUGAGAAAUCUCCAGACUUGACCACCACAUCAUCAAUAUAAAUUUCUACGAUCUUGCCGAUGAACUCAUGAAAUAUAAAAUUCAUAGCCCUUUGAUAAGUAGCACCGGCAUUCCUUAACCCAAAAGUCAUGACUAUCCAUUCAAAUAGUCCAACAUGACCAGGACACCUGAAUGCGGUUUUUGGAAUAUCCUCUUCUGCCAUGAAUAUUUGAUUGUAACCCGCAUUACCAUCCAUGAAGCUGAUGACCCGAUGGCCAGCCGCAGCAUCAACCAGUAGAUCGGCGACAGGCAUUGGGUAUCCAUCCAUCGGCGUAGCUUUAUUGAGAUUCCUGAAAUCAAUGCACACCCGAAGCUUCCCGUUCUUCUUGUAAACCGGGACGACAUUGGAAAUCCAUUCAGCAUACCGACACUGCCGAAUAAACUUAGCUUCAAUAAGUUUAGUGAUUUCGGCCUUAAUAUCAGGUAGAAUGUUAGGAUUACAUCGGCGGGCUGGUUGCUGAUGUGGCCGAAAUCCAGACUUAAUGGGUAACCGAUGUUCAACAAUUGAUCGGUCUAAACCAGGCAUCUCUGUAUAAUCCCAAGCAAAGCAAUCUUUAUAUUCCUUUAACAAACUAGUUAAUUGCCUUUUACACUCAGGAUCUAGUUUAGCACUAAUAAAAGUAGGCCUAGGCUUAUCACCACUUCCUAUAUCCACUUCUACCAAAUCAUCAGCCGAUGUGAAUCCCUGGCCUAAUUUUCCAUCAUCGGCGAAUCUAUCCAUUAAAAACCGUCGUCAGAACCGACUGCUUGGAUCGGUGGAAUCUCAUAAUCGGCAACUUUGAGAAAAUCUUUCUCCCAAACUUCUCCUGAAAUGCACCUAGUCUUCUCAUAAGUAUCCGCUUCUGCCGAUGCGAUAACAUAAGAAGAAUCCCCUGGGACGAUCUCAAUCUUGUCACCUACCCACUGAACCAAGCACUGAUGCAUUGUAGAUGGGACACAACAAUUGGCAUGAAUCCAAUCUCUCCCCAAUAAUAAAUUGUAGGCACCUUUUCCGCUGAUCACGAAAAAGGUUGUCGGCAAGGUCUUGCUGCCGAUGGUCAACUCCGCACAUAUCGCCCCCUUGACCGGAGACACGUUUCCCUCGAAGUCUUUGAGCAUCAUAUCGAUCUUGGUCAAAUCUUGAUCCCCUUUCCCAAGCUUCCGAUAUACUGCAUAUGGCAUAAUAUUAAUAGCAGCCCCACCAUCAACUAGGAUCUUAGUCAUUGGCUGCCCAUCAACCCUUCCUUUGAGGAACAAAGCUUUAAGAUGCUGCCUCUCGUUAUCGGCAGGUUUCUCAAAGAUAGCCGUCAUUGGAUCCAGAGCCAACUGAGCUAUCUGAUCAGAAAAUCCCAACUCAUCGUCACUGGCCGGUGCAAGAAACUCCAUCGGCAACAUGAAUACCAUGUUGACGCCUGCCGAUGGACCUUCUUUCUUAGCGUCUGACGGCUGCCGAAUCCCAGAGUUCUCUCCUUUAUUUAGCUCUUCCUGCCUUUCACGUUGCAAUCUCCUUUUCUGUGUCUUAGUUAAUCCUUGAGGGCACCAUGGAGGAAGUGGCCUUUGUCUUGCCGUCGGGCGUUGGUUCUCUCUUGACUCCAUGCGAUGCGUGUUAGUAUCCCUGCAAAAUAUGAAUUCAUCGGGAACCCGCGCAUCAGCCAUUCUUUCAAGCUCCUCUUGGUUCCUGGGAAAAUACUGGACACGGUCACCGAGCCGAUCGCGAACGCUAAGCCUGCCCCCCAGCCGAUCAGGAACUGACGCCCUUCCUCUGAUCGGCCCAUUAAAUCGUCGUUCAUCAUCAUGAUAACGCCGAUCGUUCCUGCCGUACCGAUCAUAACCGUUGCAUUCAGGGCAGUCUCUGACAGUAGGAAGCUUGAUAUUUUCCUCCCAACAAUGGAUGAAGAAUGGGCAAUUCCAAUGAUCCCUGUGCCGAUUCCACUCCUGUCGGCGUCUCUCUUCUUCCCGUUGAUAAUCUUCCUGCUGGCGCCGGUACCGAUCUUCCCGUUGUGGCCAUCUCUCUCGAGGCCUUCUAUGAGUUAUGACAAUACUAGAUCGAGGAAUUCUUCCCGAGCUAGCUCCUUCCUGGACCAAGCCCUUACUUCUUGCAUCGGCGGUAGUAACUUGAUGCUGAGGAUCUACCGAUGCACUCUUCUCAGCUGUCUCCGACGUUAAGACCUUAGCCUUCCCCCUUAGCAUCCAACAUGUUCGUCGGGAAAGGAUGUUGGUCUAUCUUCAUCGGCUUCUGGGCUUUGGAACUAUCAAACUUGAUUCUCCCUGACUCUAUGGCCGAUUGCAGCUGUUGUCUAAAUACUUUGCACUCAUUGGUAUCAUGUGAAGUUGCAUUAUGCCACUUGCAAUAUCUCAUCCUCUUCAACUCCUCUGCCGACGGGAUCACGUGGUUAGGUGACAAUUUGAUUUGACCUUCCUGAAGUAGAAAGUCAAAUAUCCUAUCGGCAUUGGCGGUGUCAAAUGCAAACUUCUCUGGUUCCUUCUGCCCAAAAGGACAAGACAUCGGCUUCUUGUUUUUUACCCAUUCUGCCAAACCGAUUACUGGUUCUUCAUCGGAAUCUGAGCUUGUUACUUCAUCAACAAAUGAGACUUUCUUAUUCCAUGCCCUCUUAGGCUCGAAAGGCUUGAUGUCUUGAUCAGAUAUCCUCUGCACCAAGUGACUUAAACUUUCAAACUCCUGAGAGGCAUACUUAUCCCUGAUGUGUGGCAACAAACCCUGGAAAGCCAAAUCGGCUAGCUGCCGAUCAUCCAGAACCAGGCUAUAGCAUUUAUUUUUGACCUCUCGUAUCCUCUGCACAAAUCCCUCAACCGACUCAUCAUUACGUUGCCUCAACUUGACCAAGUCGGUGAUCUUCUUCUCAUGAACCCCCGAGAAGAAAUAUCUGUGGAAUUGCUUCUCUAGAUCGGCCCAAGUAAUUACUGAAUUGGGAGGCAAUGAUAUGAACCAAGUAAAGGCCGAUCCAGACAAUGAUGAUGAAAAUAGGCGAACCCUCAAUUCGUCCCUGUUACCAGCCUCUCCACAUUGAAUAAUGAACCUGUUGACAUGCUCCAUGGUUGACGUGUCGUCCUGUCCGGAAAACUUUGUAAAAUCCGGUACUUUGUACCGAUGUGGAAGCGGGAUCAAAUCAUACGCUGGAGGAUACGGUGUCCGAUAAGAAUAAGUGUUGACUUUGGGUUUUAUCCCAAAUUGUUCCCUCAUUACUUCGGCAAUCUUAUCGGCCCAAUACGCAUCGGCAUCUUGCCGAUGAGGCGGCUGCGGAUCUGGCAUUUGGUGGCGAACCUCCACGUGUCUGUUCGGGACGUGACCUGUAUGGAACAUCGUAUUGGUCACCUGUCCUCCAAUCUGCGGACUACCAAACUGCUGUCCACUGAUUGGCUGUCCUCCGAGUUGCUGUCCAAAAUUUAUUGGCUGGUUGGGAAUUCCCUGACCUUGGAACCCGGGAUAAACCUGCCCUUGCUGGAACCCUGUAGUCUGAUAACCCUGCUGGGGUGACUGUGGAAAGGCUUGCUGUCCAAGCCAUCCAUUAUUAGCGUUCAUCGGCAUAGGUGCUGCCGAUGAUUGGUAAUUGGGUACCGUCGUUGAAUUGACAUACCCUGACUGGGCCAUAGGCCUCUGUUGCACCAGCAUUGAUUCUGCCGAUGCGUUAGGCAUCUGGAACAUUGGAUCUUGAGGAUUUCCGGUGUGAGGCCUUGCAGUAGUAGUUGUGGUAUACCGAGGACUCUGGUUCACCGGAACAUUGGAAGGUACCGAUGUCAUAGGAGUUUUGCCCCUCAUGUCAGUUAUCUGUGAUGUUCCCGGCGUCAACUCUGGAGGCAUACCAUAACCCCACCAGUUAGGAGGAAGAGUUAACCCCGACAUUGCCGAUGCCAACAUAUCUGUUGUCAGUUUAUGCUGCCCAACUGAAAUUUGUGGAUUGGUUACCAUCGGCAUAGAUAGUGCACCAGUAGUCCCCAAUGUACUCGGAGGAACGGCAGACUGUGCACUCGCACUUGUCAAGGCAGCCGAUGGAGCCGUGACCUCUGGUGCCGUGGGUUGAUGAUGGGAAGGGCCCACAUAAUCCGGUGGGAUUUGUCCUUCCUUGAAGGUUCUUGCCACGGCGUUGAAAACCGUAUUAGACAGUACACCAGCUUGGUUAAUCAACGCUCGAUUGAUGGCAUUAUCAACCAUGUCUUGAAGCUUGCCAGGAUUGGCGUCAAAGGUGACCUGCCGUGGUGCCGGCAGUGCAUCUUUCUGGACCACCUCGCCGCUCCUAUUUAUGCUGAAAGACUUCAGGCAUUGCUGCUUGAACUCUUCCAUAGCUUGGGCAAUAGCUUGCUUCUGCUCAUCCUUGGGGUUAGCUUCCGUCACGGGGAUGACGUUGUCUUGAUCGAGGUCAGAGAUCGACAUGUUGAUCUUGAUCUUGAAUCUGUCCCACCGGGCGUGCCAGAAGAUGUGUUGAUGCAAAAACUAGUCUGCAAACACAAAGGGCUAAUACCCGAUCCAAACGUUAAGGCGUGCCAGCCGAUUUGACCUUACUAUCGGCAAAGAUGAUAACUCGAAUACUUUAGUCCUGACAACAGCGAUACGCCCGGAUGUCACGGCUAAGAGGUACUCACGCGGAACUUGAGGAUACGCCGAGCUUGAGUCGACGAAUUCCUAAGAACUCGUAACAAAAAGAAAACGUAUGACGAAGUCGUCGAAAAGUAAAUGCUGGAAUAUGAGUAAAAAACGUGUGUUUGAUUGAUUGAUAGAUAUAUGAUUACAAGGUCUUAGGGCUUAUAUUUAUACCCUGCUCAAAGAGCUACGACCAGACACGAUUAGAAUUCGAAUUCCAAAUUACACGGAACCCGUAUACAAAACGAUACGAAUAACAUAAGGAAAUAAUAAAACCAUCCUUCGUGACAAACCGAAAUUCCUCCACAUGACAACUGGCAGCUUCCGGACUCCUCCUUCGCGUCAUCGGCAAUCCCCUUGCCAUAGUCAUCGGCAGACCCUUUUACUUGGCCAUCGGCACCAUAUUACUGUCUGAGGACUUAGUCACAUUCAACCUUUCCCUCAUCGGCAACCAUCCUUACCAGCAACCCGCAUCGUACUGCCACCCUGUCCUGCCAUCCUGGACACGUGCCCAAAAAUGGUGUCAACAAUGUGCUACUCCCCUCUAAUCUCCUUGCCCGCGUCUAUGGCGGACGGCGAGGCUAACGGCGCGAGCACCGGCCACUACACGCGGAUAGAACGCGAACCAAAAGACGCAUGAGCAUCAGGGGCUCACCACGACUUCGACAAGGUAGAGAGCGGUGGUGGAGGAGCUCGAAGAAGAGCUGGCCACGGUGAGGUGUUUGCGGCGGCGCUUCGGCCGGAGUUGGAGAGGAGAACGGCUCGGUUACGGCCUAUGGGAGGUUAAAGCUUGUGCUAGGGGGUGCAAUCGGUGGCGGAGUUCUUGGCGGAGCUGCUGGGAGUUCGCUGGUGGCUUGGAAGGGAGCGAGUGAGGCGAAUUUGGGAGCGCAGCAAGGUCGUCGGCGUCGAGCGGAAAAGGAGAAAACGAGGUGGCCGUGCAGUGUGGUCACUGAGGGGAGUGGAUGAGCACGCCGGGGGCUCGUCCACUUCAUGGCGGGCUCGCGCAGCCAAGCAGCUGCGUGGCUAGGCGCGUGGCGGCGCUGGACGCAGCGGCUCUGCCCCGGCGGCAGAGGAUCCCCCCUGCUUGAGCACUGUAGCGAGCCCUAUCCAACCAUUUUGUGGUUUUGCAAAAUUCACCCAAAUUUUGAACUAAAGACAAAAUUCCACCAAAACAAAAGUUGUGCAGAAAUUUACAAACUACAAAACAUGUUCUGGUGCCCAAAACUGAUUCUAAGUGGAAGAGUGUGAAUUUGGCAAAACAAUAUGAACUUCAAAUCUCAAAUUGGGAAAAUUCCAAUUUUUGAAUUGGGGCAGAUCAGAAUUUCCAAAAUUACUUUUGAUUUUCCAUAACAACUUGAAAUAUUCCCAACAUGAAAGUUGUUCAACUUUUUGAGCUCUACAACUUUCAUGUUGGUCACUUUUCAAGAUUCCAAAUAGAUUUUGAAUUGGAGAUUCAAAUUGGAAAAGGGGACACUUUCUGGAAAACUGUAUUUUCGAAAUUGCUUUGAAUUUUGCAUUGAAACUUCAAAAACUCAAAACAGCAAAGUUGUACAUCUUGACAAGAUCUACAACUUUGCUUUUGAACUCAACUUCAAAUUUUGCUUAGUUUUUAAAUUGCACAAAAGGGGGCAAAACAAGGCUUUUAAAAUCAGGGUUCCCCCCCCCCAUUUUCUCGGAAAUCUUCCACCCUAGGAGUUAAACCACCAACACAAGCAUCCCUUCAGAACAUAAGCACAUUUUAAUUCCCUAAGCACAUUCAACCAAAUUAAACUUAUUUUAAGUUAAUGCUUCAGGAUGUGCUUACCAAAUAUGCGAUGCAAUGCUCAUGAUGACAUGAUCCAGUUUUAGUAACCGUAACAUCGGGGAUGUUUCAGAUCCGAACCUCAUGAGACAUUUCCCCCUUUCUCAUUUUACUACUUAGUUGCAUACUUAACUACGAUGACAGUCAGUGGAUUGAGUCUCCCAAUCGGGGAGCAACGACGAUUUGAACCGCUUAGCAAUCCAGCUGGAGUUCCUAACCACUCGACAUAUGUAGAACCAAAUCUUGCAUAUUGUUGACGGUCCUUAAUGCUCACAUUUAUCUGUCAACUAAUCAUGAAAAAGGAUUCAAAUGCAACCGACACCUAGACUUAGGGUUUGAUCUGAUAGAUUUCCACGAGUUUUGGUGUUUGUGUAUUUCUGCAGGGGGUUAUCAGGAAAUACGAAGGAAAGGCCCACACGUCGGGUUUACAUAGAGAAUUAAUGUGUGAGGUAAUUUUCCAUAAUCAGGAAGAUUCUAUAAGCAACUCGACCGAAGGAGAGCCGACACGGGCCCGGGGUCGGGGCGCCCGCCCUUGAUCCUAGGGCGCCCGUCCUGGUACAAGCACCAAUCACAGAAUGGAGUACACCAUUACAAAGAUCUCGUCGAGCUGAUCGAAAUGCAUAUAUUAUUUGCUAUAUUUGGAGUUCGGAAUCAAGAGAUAUUAAUAAAAGAAGGACUCCACAUAAAAGAGCUGCAAGAUUAAUUGGGCACAAAUCAGAUUUUCGUCCAUUAAGGCCUAUGUGCAUUUUAAUGAGAUAUGGUGGGAAGUUUAGUACCACAUCGUUUGCUGAACCAAAAAGGCACAAAGGAAGUUUCAAAAAAAAAGGCACAAAGGAGGAGGCUAUAUAAGCAAGGCCCCUGGCCCCUGGAGAAGAACAAAUCAUUAUAGAGUUGAGAGGUGCCCUCGAAGGAUAACCUUUCCUCUAUAGAGAAUUAGGGCUAGACACUCCAAUAUAGUAGAUUAGUUCUAGUCAGGAGUUAGGGAGAGCGGAGCUGCUCUUCGGUUCUGGAGAAGUCUUCAGAGUUUUGGUAUGUCUUUAUAUUUAUUGUAAGACUUAUGCUUUAAUAUAUUUAUCUUCUCUAUUUACUUUUAUGCCUUUAUUAUUAUCGAGUAGUGUAGUUGUUAUAUUUUGGCAUAGGAUCUCCGUUCGCAUCGAGUGCUCUAGUUAUUCAUGGUAAUUAGAGUGGUAAUCGUUAGUGUAGACGUGGUGUCUAUACUAGUGGUUACCUGAGGUUGCACCCAGUCCUGCGGAUUGUUGUGGUACCCCUAGGGUAGUGAGAGCCCUAACGGUCGACGUAUUCCACCUCGUUCGGAUCGGUGUUUGUAGGACCGUAGUCAGAGCUUGCCAGCCCACUUCCAGUUCUCUUUCUGUGGUUGGUGUUCUGAUGUCCCAAAGUGCUAAUAUGUGAUUGCUAUAUCUAUUCAUUCUUUGUUAUCAUAGAACUAAAGUAAUAGAGAAGUAUACAGAAACCCAGGUCUCUCCCGUUGUCCUCCCGCUAUGGCUAUCUAUGCAUUUAUCAUAGAAUUCUCACCUUUAUAUUAUUACCUAUCAUAUAUCAUUUACCCCUACUUUAGUCUAGUUGGUUUAUUAAAUUAGUAGAUGCAUGAUAGUAUUUGACCUUAGCUUCCCUGUGGUAAAAUAUAAAUAACGAUACGUGGAAUACUCUCGUUAAAAUGCUACGAUGAUGUUCUGUGCGCUUGCGGAAUUUUUCUUAUUCUUAUUGCACUUAAUGAAUGUCGACAAGCAUUUUUGGCGCCGUUGCCGGGGAAGCAAUUGGUGUGAAGAUUUUGAUAAUGAUCUUGAUGUCUGCUAAUUUAAUGUAUCACUAGCUUUAGUAGGUUUAUUGUAUUUAUCUUUUCUGCAUUUGUUUUUAGUAUAUUUAUUUCUCCAUAACAUAUUUAUCUUUCUGCAUUAUUAUUGCAUUAGAAAAUAUAAUAAAAAUAUUUUAUAUAACUCAUUGCAUCUUAAAUACUAAAACCCCAUGUGAAUAAAUUGUGUGGUGUGUAAAAGCCUACACGGAUAUUCACCGUGGUGGAAUAAAAAAAAUAAAAAUAAAUAAACAUGCAUUCAUCUUGUUCUAUUUCCUAUUUGCUUCACAGAAAGAUUAAAACCCAAAAAAAUAUAUAUAUUGAGAAAGAGAUCUUGUUGAAACUUUGCUUAGAAAAAGAAUUAAGAAAAAUCUAAAAAGCUUGGACAACUAAGGCUUAAGUGGCCAACUACUAAUGUUUAAUCGAUGCCACAAGUUUUGUUGUCUAUUUGAGUUUAACAUGAUUUAAAGAGAGAAUCCCCAAUGAUCAAGAUAUCUUCAUCAACUUGGAAGCGCUCCAAUCAUCACUGACAUUUUGAAGCUCAAGAAUAUUGAAGAACAUCUGUGUUGUGAGGAUUCAAGAUUAAAGACUAUGUCAACAUUCAGCUUGGGGGAAAGCAAUCCCGUUAUCUUCGCGAUUCAGGCUUGAAGUAAAAGAGUGAAGAAUAACAACAUGGUAUGUCCAACCAAUCAUCAUGCAACAUUGAAUUAAAUUCAUCCAAACUUGACUUGUUCAACCUGGGGGGAAUACCUUACACAAAAACAUCCUUUGCCAUGUUGCUAUGUUGGUUUUCCCUACCCUUAUGACAUGCUCAAUUUGUUAAACACUAAUCAUUCUACUUCAUCCCAAGUUGAGUAGAUUUCUAUAAUGUUGUCAUGCUACCUUUGUCUAUUCACAAGUAAGUGUUGGUUUGGAAGUACUCGACAUACUUCCAUUGGCAUUUAAAUUAAGCAUGGUGCUUAGGUUAAAUAGCCUUCCUUAAUCCGAUUAGACAUGGAGUCUAGUUUGGUUAUUGAACUAAAAACUGCUUGUGUAGACACUGGUAUAUUUUGUUGGACUAACCCCUGCAGGAAAAUUUUCAAUAUCGAUUUGAGAAGUCCUGAGAUAAAUUCAGAAUGGAGAUAAAGAGGGAGACACAUGAAGUUUAACAAUUUGCACAAGAGAGACAUAACUCGUCCAUCAUAGAGAGAUAAUCCAUGGAACGAGACGAAGAGUGCCACGAACAAGAUGCACAACCAUUGAGAAAGAAAAGCUUCCACAAGGUGAUAUUGUACCAUCACUCUUCAAUUAUGGUAACAUCUUAAGGUAUGUGACUGUCACUGUUAUAAGCUUCUCCUUGAUUCUGGCAUGCACAUGGAUAAAAAGACAAACAUGUAUGAUUUAUAACUCCAAAUUAACCAACCCAAUUGAUUCAACAUGUUUAGUCAUUUAAUCUUUGUUUCUGAUACUACCUUCUUAAUCCCACACUCUUAACCAUAUGAGCUAAAAUUUUGCACAUCCGAUCUUUGGAAAAUGAUAGUCACGUAAAGAAAAAAGAACAAUUACUUAGAUAGAUUAUCUUUCCAUAAGGUUGAGUGAUCUGAUCUGACAAAUGUUUUAAAUGCUACACUCAUGAUCUUAUCAUCCAUCAACUUUGUCUUGCUCACUAAGCUUAAGGUUAGAGAAGAACAAAUACACUUUUAGUUCUGUUGUUGUUUUCCACCAAUAGGGCCCAUGCACUUGAUCUCUGCCUUGUUUCUAUGAGCAGGAUACACUUGGAGCAAAACCUGGAGGAGUUUUCCAACUCCCAGACUCUACCAAGUGAAGGAUCUGGAUCUGCGAGCACAAAGACACUGAGGAGGAUACUGCCAACGCCGCACUUCGAACUGCUAGGCAAACGAAAAACAUGGGUGACACCGUAUCAAGAGUUGCAGAUGUCAAGGUCCACAUCUAACUCAAAUGACGCACCUAAAGAAUAAACACGGUGAGAAGUCUUGUUCACAAGACUUAAAACAUUGAACCCUCGCCGAAAGGUAAAAUCGGUAGUUAUCCAUAUUUAUCCUUUCUGCAUUCCUUUUUUUCUUAAAUUAUUUACUUUCCUUAAAUAGCUUGUUAGUUAAUCAUGCUAUCUUGAAAAGAAAAUAAAAAUAUUAAAAACAGUAAGCCCCAUGUGAGUAUGCUCGUGGCAUAAAACCCAUCACUGUGGUGGUGUAAAAAUAAAAUAAAUAUAUUCUUGUCCUGUAAAAAUGAAAAUAUAAAAAUAAAUUUAUGAUCCUACUAAAGAGAGUAAUAUUUAUUAGAGGAAGCUCAACAUGAUAAAGGCUAAGAGAUUUUAUGCUAACACUUAACCAGUUCCACAAAGCUUUGUUGUCUAUUUGAGCUCCAUAGAAUUCAAGGAUCAAGGAAGACUAGUAGACGGAGGAUAUCCUAAUCGCUAUCAGGGUGCUGCUAACAUUCAAAUACACCUACGCCACCUGCUAACUACAUCAGAAGAAAUUACGUUAAGAUCCAGCUUGGGGGAGAGCACCCCCAUUUAUCCAACUAAGUGUUUCGACUCACAUUUAUACUUUACUCAAAUAAUAAAAAAAUGUAUAAUCAUAAAAACCCAAUUAAACAUUUUGUGCUUAUAUAUAUCUUUGCUUAGUUUGCUAAAUAAAUAAAUAAAGUGUCUAUGCCAAACUGAACUUCAAUGACAAACUCUUAUAUGGAUAUGAUGAAUAGUUGCUCUGUCAAGUACCUAGUUUUCAAAUUUGAGCUCUCUCUCAAGUUUAGGCAUAACUGUUAUAAUUUAAAGCUUGCUCUAAACCUGAAUUUGCGGGAAGAGUACCUGAUCAAAAGUCUAAGUCAUUAACAGAUAUGAUAUGGGAAUGUUGAACUGCUGUUUAUCUGUUCCUAGAGAUGCUAGAAUUCUAGAGAAUUUUAUCUUUGAAAAUCUUUAAAAUGUUGCAUGAUGAGUUCCUGUAUGACGAGAGUUUAAAAUCCUACCACAGCCAUAUAUACAAGCUUAUUAGACUAUGAACCAUACAUUUACUUUUUACUGCUUAUGAGCAUUGAGUGUGGUCAAGCUGUGUAGACCCUUAGGAGCUUGUCAUGCGGUAAAAAUCAAGAUUCACUUACACGUUCACUCAGACAUGCUGCUUCUACUCCAGAAGUACGCAUCCACAUACAUCCACUCAUUUCCAUAUCUAGAUUCACCCAAAAUUAUUCUACUCCUAUCUAGGAGAGAAUAGCCAAAAACAUUAUCCUAUCCCUGUUAUUCCCCGUGAAAUAAAUGCUCGAGAUAUUUUGGUUACUACCACUUGCUACAUUAUUCCAGGAGGGUGAGUGCUCUGAAAAAAGUGAAUACAAGGAAAUAAAAAGAGACAAGUGUCCGAAACCUCGAAAAAAAAGAAAAAAGAAAAGAAAAAGUGAGACGAGAGGUAAAAUGGACAAGUGUCCGACAAUAGAAUUAGGGGUACAAGAUACCCACCUGAGAGAAAAGAAAAAUAAAAUAUAGAGCAUCUCAUUCCCCUCGAAAGCUUAAAGUGCAAGGAAGGUAUGUACCCCCUCAAAAGAGCAAAAAUAGAAUUGGACUUUCACCAUUAUUUUCACCAUUAUCACCAUUCAUUUGCCACACAUGCACAUCUUGAUUUGACUUAUUGACUUGUUCUUGUGGAUCUAUGGUUUGACUAUGCAAUAAAUGUCUUGUAAGUAUGUAUUAGAUCAAAACCUUAUUAGAGUAGGGUGAGAGAGAAGGCAAUGUCACUAUGCCUCAUACCAAAAAUACCACAUACUUUGAGAGAAGGCAUACACCAUCAUUGCCUUGGUAAGGAUCCAGAAAUACCACAAAAGAGAGACUAGAGAGAGUCAUAUAAGGAAUCUCUGAGUUUUAUUUGAAAAUCUGCAAAAACUCUAGAGCUAUAGUUAAUCAAAAAACAAGAGACAUGGUGCUUGACUAGACCGUUCUAUCUUUUAACUGCUCAAGACAUAAGUGACGGUUGCAAGCCCCAUGGUGGAAGGUAAAAUGAGUAAGUUUAAAUCUUAACAAUUUACCCUAACCCAGAGAUGAGAUCUUGUUUGAACGCGUGUAUACCUUUAAGGCAUGAAACCACUGCAGAAACUCUUGAGUCCAUCUUUGCUCAGGGACGACCAAAGGUUAAGCUUGGGGGAGCUUGUUGACGGUCCUUAAUGCUCACAUUUAACCGUCAAGUAAUCAUGAAAAAGGAUCCAAAUGCAACCGACACCUAGACUUAGGGUUUCAGCUAACAGAUUUCCACGAGUUAUGGUGUUUGUCUAUUUCUGCAGGGAGUUAUUAGGAAAUACGAAGGAAAGGCCCACACGUCGGGUUUACAUAGAGAAUUAAUCUGUGCGGUAAUUUUCCAUAAUCAGGAAGACUCUAGAAGCCACUCGACCGAAGCGGAGCCGAGACGGGCUCGGGGCCGGGGCGCCCGCCCUUGAUCCUAGGGCGCCUGCCUUUGUACAAGCACCAAUCACAGAAUGGAGUACACCAUUACGAUGAUCUCGUCGAGCUGAUUGAAAUGCAUAUGUAAUUUGCUAUAUUUGGAGUUCGGAAUCAAGAGAUAUUAAUAAAAGAAGGUCUCCACAUAAAAGAGCUGCGGGAUUAAUUGAGCCCAAAUCAGAUUUUGGUCCAUUAAGGCCUAUGUGCAUUUUAAUGAGAUAUGGUGGAAAGUUUAGUACCACAUCGCCUGCUGAACCAAAAAGGCACAAAGGAGGAGGCUAUAUAAGGAAGGCCCGUGGCCCCUGGAGAAGAACAGAUCAUUAUAGAGUUGAGAGGUGCCCUCGAAGGAUAACCUUUUCUCUAUAGAGAAUUAGGGCAAGACAUUCCAAUGUAGUAGAUUAGUUCUAGUCGGGAGUUAGGGAGAGCGGAGCUGCACUUCAGUUCUAGAGAAGUCUUCAGAGUUUUGGUAUGUCUUUAUAUUUAUUGUAAGACUUAUGCUUUAAUAUAUUUAUCUUUUCUAUUUACUUUUAUGCCUUUAUUAUUAUCGAUUAGUGUAGUUGUUAUAUUUUGGCAUAGGAUCUCCGUUCGCAUUGAGUGCUCUAGUUAUUCAUGGUAAUUAGAGUAGUAAUCGUUAGUGUAGACGUGGUGUCUAUACUAGAGGUUACCUGAGGUUGCACCCAGUCCUGCGGAUUGUUGUGGUAGCCCUAGGGUAGUGACAACCCUAACGGUCGACGUAUUCCAUCUUGUUCGGAUCGGUGUUUGUAGGACCAUAGUUAGAGCUUCCCAGCCCCCUUCCAGUUCUCUUUCUGUGGUUGGUGUUCUGAUGUCCCAAAGUGCUAAUAUGUGAUUGCUAUAUCCAUUCAUUAUUUGUUAUCAUAGAACUGAAGUAAUAGAGAAGUAUACAGGAACCCAGGUCUCUACCGUUGU
This 51904-nucleotide long non-coding RNA is filed under the name Sorghum bicolor (sorghum). RNAcentral describes it as "long non-coding RNA (SBIC_LNC006668)". The stretch from base 28051 to 28157 matches the Rfam family "Plant small nucleolar RNA R71". The record is from RNAcentral. Lineage: Eukaryota; Viridiplantae; Streptophyta; Magnoliopsida; Poales; Poaceae.